AGAAAUCAGAAGCGGCGCGGAGUGUACUGUUCAUCGUCUUCCUCGCCACAACUCACCAUCACUCACCCGAGUUGACUCAAAAUGGUCCCCCUCCAUGUCAUUUGAUUCCUAACAGUUUUUGUUAGAGAAGAGUACGAUUAUUCCCUCAAAAUCGCGGAUUUUUGUACAAAAGGAUAAUUGUUGGACGAAUGGAAGCCGUGGAUAGAUGUGAAUCAAUCCUAGCCCUCCAUUUGUCCCAAAAUUGUUCAAAACUUGAGAGAUUUUUCGGAGUUUUGGCAGAUUUUGGAGAAUUUUCGAGGGCUCUAUAUAUAUGAGGUAAGUCUUCUAUGCUAAGGGAGAAUUAGAGAGAGAAAAAAAUUAGAGGAAAAAGCGAAGAAAUCUUCAACAGCUUAGCCUAAAAACUUCUAGGGAUUUGUAGUCGUCACUUUUCUUUAAGCUCUCAUCUUCUUCCGUCUGCUUCUUUCAUUUUCAGAAAACAUAUAUAAAAAAAUAGUUUGUUUUCUCAAGAGAACUUGAUUUAAAAAUUCAAGUUGUGGUCGAGUUUGUUUUUUUUUGGAGCUCAAAUUUCGGCAAUGUUUCAGUCAAGCUGGUUGAUUCCUGUGUUCUUGCUGUUGUUCGUUUCAAGCUUUGAGUCGUCGUUUUACUCGAGUUGGUUUAAAUUGUUGUAAUCGUUGAAGUUUCAUUAAUUGAAAGCUCCAAUUCCAGGUUCAUAUUUCUUCCUUUUGCUAUGUUUUUCUUUCUUUUCUCAGUGUUACUGUCGUAUGGGUGUGAUUAAAGUUUGGUGAUGCCGUACUCUCUCUUUAGUUGCUGUGAUUAUAAUGUAUGAGAAGCUCAUUGACACAGAUGCAUAUGCUAAGCUUUCUUCGUAGAAUUGUGUGGAUAUGCUCUUAUCAGUAUGUUUAGUUCAUUUCUUAGCCUUUUGUUUGCGACUUGAUGUCGUUGCUAGGGUAACAGUAUCGUGUGGGAAUUGUUGAAGUUUGGUUAAAAAAUGUCUUUGCGUUUUCUCUUGAUUUCUUCAAUCAAAAAAACCUGAAAUCCUCAUUCAGAGAAUGUCAUUCCUUUGUUGGUAUAAACCUGAAGCAAGAUUUUAGAACCUCGUGUGCUAAUCUGCAUUUUGCCAUCUGUUAAAGUGUAACAUGUUAGUUUCGAGUCAGCUGUGUUUUUACGGCAAUGGAGUUUCCAGUUCCUGCAAUGCUGCUCGUUGAUUUAGCCUCUGAUUUGUCAAAAAUAUUGAAUUCUGUUCGUUUGAGUGUGACUCCUUCAAUGUGAGCAGCUUCAUUGUGUUAGUUGUAUUCCUAUUUUUGGUAAAUCUCAGCCAGUGUAGUUUUGAGCUUUGUUUUCUAAUAGUACUCAUAACCAGUGCCGUUUUGAUCAUUAUGUUGUGGUUCUGGUUUUGUUUGCAGUCAAUUAGUUACUCUUCCAUGUCCCUUGUUUUGUCAACAAUGAUUUUCUUUAAAGUAACAGAUGUAGACAUCUUAUAUCGGCUUGCAUAUUGGCUUGGACUCUUUUGGUUGCUGCUGUUUAGUGUAGUACAUUUUUGUGCUUUGCUUAUUAACAUCCUAAUAUCUCAUUAAGAUGAUGUAUUUUGUAUUUUCCCUUUAACUGAUUUAAUGACUGAAUUUGUCUGAGUCACCGCUGCAUUUAGAUCAUUUCAGUAACAUUAUUUCUUUUGAAAUCAUGGUUGGGCAGAAUAAUCUUCCAAAGUUUGUUUAUUGAUGUAAGAUUUCGAGUGCGGCUGUUUGAUAUAACAAAUCAGUUCUUUUACAUUCAUGAAUUGAGGCUAGAAGUUGUACACUGUUUUCCAAUUUCAUGUCAUUAUAUGCAAAUCUACUCUUUAGCUAUUGAUUCAUGUUGAUGCCAAAUAAUUAAGAAGGAAGUUGACUGAUUCGCGCCAAGGUCAUUCCUGCGGCCUUGUAUUCAGAAAUUGGUCAAUUUACCAAAAUUGGACGUAUGAGUAUAAAGUUCUAAAUGUCUUGCUGCAUUUUUGUUGAUCGCAUGGAGUUAUUCCAUGGCUAAAACAUGAAUUUGCUGUAUUGAGUGUUGUUUAUAGUUGUAAAGAUAUAUUAAAGAGAUAACCAUGCAGUUUAUUCACCAAUAAUUUGUUUUCCACAAUCUACGACCUUGUAGUAAUCUUAAGCAAGCUUAGGAAAUAAUCACUCAUGAACACCGUAGUUUGCUUUAUGCUCGAUUUAGACUAGUGUUAUGAUUGUGUAUACGUUCGCGUAACAUAAUUACAAAUUUAAUUCUAAAAAUGACUCGAGGGAUGCGUUCGCGCAACUUCAACCAAACUUUUCUUAAUAAAAUAAAUAAAGCGUUAUUAAUGGUGGACACAUUUGCGUGACAUGAUUUUUGACGCGCUAAAAAAAAGAGUAUACGUACGCGUAACUCAAUUCUUUAAUUACGAAUAAAUCAAGUGAUUAAAAGCGGUUAAACAAGUAAAUUCACAUAGGUCCUAAAAAUGAGUAAUUGAACAAUUAAGCCAAGUAUAAAUUGCUAAGCAACCGUGCUAGAACCAAGGAACCCGGGAAUGCCUAACACCUUCUCCCGAGUUAACAGAAUUCCUUAUCUAGAAUUUCUGGUUCGCAGACUUCAAAAGGAAAGUCGAAAUUUCCUUGAUUUGAGAUUUAAAAUAAACCGGUGAUUUGGGAUUUAAAAUAAAUCGGUGAUUUGGGACACCAAUUAAAAUAUUCCAAGUGGCGACUCUAUUUAAUUAAAUUAAUCCCAUUUCGAAUAAUGUCACUUAAAUUGGAAAAACUCUCUUAUAUCCCUCUCGGGUUGUAAAAAAGGAGGUGUGGCAGCUCUGGCGACUCUGUUGGGGAUCGAGACCUCAGAACUUCCGGUUCAGGGUUCAAGAAUUCAAGCUUGUUAAUGCGAUUUUUAUUUGGCUUUAUUGUUGAUAUUACUGUAUUUUCUGGACUUAAUGUGCUAAUUGUCAUUUACCGCUUUGAUAUUACUUGAACUGUAUUUAAAUGUCUUCUUAUGCCACCCAUCUGAGUCUUCUGAAAAUGGUGCACACGUUCGCGUGACCCGCUUUUUCUAUAGAAAUUAUACCAGGCCGGGUAGACUUCCGUGCUCCCGGUACGUUGCCCUCUCCUCGACCCCAGUUGUCCGCUUGGGUAACCCAAGCCUAGACCACAAACCCNNNNNNNNNNNNNNNNNNNNNNNNNNNNNNNNNNNNNNNNNNNNNNNNNNNNNNNNNNNNNNNNNNNNNNNNNNNNNNNNNNNNNNNNNNNNNNNNNNNNNNNNNNNNNNNNNNNNNNNNNNNNNNNNNNNNNNNNNNNNNNNNNNNNNNNNNNNNNNNNNNNNNNNNNNNNNNNNNNNNNNNNNNNNNNNNNNNNNNNNNNNNNNNNNNNNNNNNNNNNNNNNNNNNNNNNNNNNNNNNNNNNNNNNNNNNNNNNNNNNNNNNNNNNNNNNNNNNNNNNNNNNNNNNNNNNNNNNNNNNNNNNNNNNNNNNNNNNNNNNNNNNNNNNNNNNNNNNNNNNNNNNNNNNNNNNNNNNNNNNNNNNNNNNNNNNNNNNNNNNNNNNNNNNNNNNNNNNNNNNNNNNNNNNNNNNNNNNNNNNNNNNNNNNNNNNNNNNNNNNNNNNNNNNNNNNNNNNNNNNNNNNNNNNNNNNNNNNNNNNNNNNNNNNNNNNNNNNNNNNNNNNNNNNNNNNNNNNNNNNNNNNNNNNNNNNNNNNNNNNNNNNNNNNNNNNNNNNNNNNNNNNNNNNNNNNNNNNNNNNNNNNNNNNNNNNNNNNNNNNNNNNNNNNNNNNNNNNNNNNNNNNNNNNNNNNNNNNNNNNNNNNNNNNNNNNNNNNNNNNNNNNNNNNNNNNNNNNNNNNNNNNNNNNNNNNNNNNNNNNNNNNNNNNNNNNNNNNNNNNNNNNNNNNNNNNNNNNNNNNNNNNNNNNNNNNNNNNNNNNNNNNNNNNNNNNNNNNNNNNNNNNNNNNNNNNNNNNNNNNNNNNNNNNNNNNNNNNNNNNNNNNNNNNNNNNNNNNNNNNNNNNNNNNNNNNNNNNNNNNNNNNNNNNNNNNNNNNNNNNNNNNNNNNNNNNNNNNNNNNNNNNNNNNNNNNNNNNNNNNNNNNNNNNNNNNNNNNNNNNNNNNNNNNNNNNNNNNNNNNNNNNNNNNNNNNNNNNNNNNNNNNNNNNNNNNNNNNNNNNNNNNNNNNNNNNNNNNNNNNNNNNNNNNNNNNNNNNNNNNNNNNNNNNNNNNNNNNNNNNNNNNNNNNNNNNNNNNNNNNNNNNNNNNNNNNNNNNNNNNNNNNNNNNNNNNNNNNNNNNNNNNNNNNNNNNNNNNNNNNNNNNNNNNNNNNNNNNNNNNNNNNNNNNNNNNNNNNNNNNNNNNNNNNNNNNNNNNNNNNNNNNNNNNNNNNNNNNNNNNNNNNNNNNNNNNNNNNNNNNNNNNNNNNNNNNNNNNNNNNNNNNNNNNNNNNNNNNNNNNNNNNNNNNNNNNNNNNNNNNNNNNNNNNNNNNNNNNNNNNNNNNNNNNNNNNNNNNNNNNNNNNNNNNNNNNNNNNNNNNNNNNNNNNNNNNNNNNNNNNNNNNNNNNNNNNNNNNNNNNNNNNNNNNNNNNNNNNNNNNNNNNNNNNNNNNNNNNNNNNNNNNNNNNNNNNNNNNNNNNNNNNNNNNNNNNNNNNNNNNNNNNNNNNNNNNNNNNNNNNNNNNNNNNNNNNNNNNNNNNNNNNNNNNNNNNNNNNNNNNNNNNNNNNNNNNNNNNNNNNNNNNNNNNNNNNNNNNNNNNNNNNNNNNNNNNNNNNNNNNNNNNNNNNNNNNNNNNNNNNNNNNNNNNNNNNNNNNNNNNNNNNNNNNNNNNNNNNNNNNNNNNNNNNNNNNNNNNNNNNNNNNNNNNNNNNNNNNNNNNNNNNNNNNNNNNNNNNNNNNNNNNNNNNNNNNNNNNNNNNNNNNNNNNNNNNNNNNNNNNNNNNNNNNNNNNNNNNNNNNNNNNNNNNNNNNNNNNNNNNNNNNNNNNNNNNNNNNNNNNNNNNNNNNNNNNNNNNNNNNNNNNNNNNNNNNNNNNNNNNNNNNNNNNNNNNNNNNNNNNNNNNNNNNNNNNNNNNNNNNNNNNNNNNNNNNNNNNNNNNNNNNNNNNNNNNNNNNNNNNNNNNNNNNNNNNNNNNNNNNNNNNNNNNNNNNNNNNNNNNNNNNNNNNNNNNNNNNNNNNNNNNNNNNNNNNNNNNNNNNNNNNNNNNNNNNNNNNNNNNNNNNNNNNNNNNNNNNNNNNNNNNNNNNNNNNNNNNNNNNNNNNNNNNNNNNNNNNNNNNNNNNNNNNNNNNNNNNNNNNNNNNNNNNNNNNNNNNNNNNNNNNNNNNNNNNNNNNNNNNNNNNNNNNNNNNNNNNNNNNNNNNNNNNNNNNNNNNNNNNNNNNNNNNNNNNNNNNNNNNGAAGUAUACAACCAUAUGCACCACAAAGAGUUCUAAGACAACUGGGAAGAUAUCAGGUGAUACCCGAAGAGGCAGAUCUAAGCACCAAAGUCAUUGAAUUACGCCCAGAAACAACGAUACCCGAGGCUUUAGUUCAAAGGGACUGGAAUUGUUGUCGGUAUCUAAAAAGUGAUACCCAGGUACCAGACCCGGUUAAGGGCGAAAUUGAUCCCAAUUAUGCUGAUUGGUUUAAAGGAGCUUCUAUGCGAACAAUGGGCCGGAGCCCGAGCCCGAACCCGAGAGGCCUUCCAAAAGGCCCCAUGUUCAAGCCUUUGAUGACAAAAUUCAGGAAAGGUUAGCCUGGGCGGAAAAAGAAAAGAAAUAUCGAGCCACCAUUCACGCUUUGCGAGAAGAGUUGAGAAAUGUCACCUUCAACAAUGAUUUACAGGCACAAGAGGCUGAGGGUGAGAGGAAAAGAUUGGUUCAAGAAAAUAAAGCUCUCAGAGCCCAGGUUCGACAGUUGAGAAUAGCAGCCGAGAAUCCGGGCAGAAGCAGGAAAGAUGAAAGGCUCAUUUACAACCUUACCCAAAAGGUGAGUGACUAUGAAGAUGACCUGCAGAAAGCUGAGUCUAAGCUAGAAAAAGUACGAACAAGGUUGACUAAAAAUGCCGAUAGGCAUGCAACUUUCGUUCAACAGAUGAAAGAAAGAUAUGAAAGAGGGGUCACAGUUUGGGAAAAGGAGAUUAGCAACCUCGAAAGUAAAAUGGCUAAACAAGCAAAAAAUUUUAAAGCCGAGAGAGAACAUUGUUACGCCUUGAUGGCACGGUUGGAAGGGAACCUACAGCACUUGCGAGAGAAGAAUCACACUGCCACCCAGGUCUUAGAGGCUAGAUCCCAGCAGAUCAGGCGUUUGUUGCAAUAAAAGGGCAUCAUAAGAGAAAGGGUCAGAAGGAUUGCUGACUACACCACAAUGAAAUGCAGUGCGUGUGAGGACAUGACCAGAUCCAUGUUCUUCGCCACUGUAAUGAUCUUUGUCCGCCAGAUAAUGGAGGAUCUCUAUCGGCUCCAAGAUAACAUGGCACGUAGGCCCGCUGCAAGACCAGUUAGUGUUCCUAGGACAGGGUUGGAGGCACUAAUGUUUUUUUGAUUGUAUUUUUUUUUCUCGAGUCUGUAUUUUUAUUUUAAAAGCAUGUUUCGAGUCUGUUUAAAUUCCUAGAAAAAGUAUGUCCUGAGUCUGUUUGAAGUCUUAAAAUCCUAGAAAAAGUAUGUUUCGAGUCUUUUGUAAUUCAGUAAGGUUGUAUUAAUGAAAAUUUGAAAAAAAAAACAACAAAAAUUGUUCUUUUAUUUUUCGCAUUUACCUCUUGAACUAUGUGAUGAUCUGAUUCACGCGGCGUCGUGAUACGUAGGCAAUCCUCAUCGGAUUCGGUCAUGUUUUCGUAAAUAACUCAAAUAAGAGAGGGAUGUGAAAAGAAGGAACCGGUAGAAAAGCCCAAAAAGAAAGAAAAGAGAGCCAAAUAAAAAAUCAAAAGAAAAAAAAAAAGAGACCAAGGAAAAGAGAGGAAAGAAAAGAGCGGAAAAGAAAAUAGAAGCGCAAAAAGCCAAAAUGAAAAAAAAACUAGGGGAAAGUAAGCAAAACCGGGAUGAAACAUGCAACCGUUGCGAAACAUGUGGAAACAUAUUUAACUGUAUAGGUGCAUCACAUCCCAACGUGUGAUUACCUAUAUGUUAUUUGCUUCAAACUGACCGGUUUGUUGUCUACUAUUAAGUCCAGGUUCUAUAGUAAGGGGUUGGUUGUGUGGUAGUCUAGCUUCACAUCCAUACUUCACGAGAUCGAAAGGAAGCGUUGAAAUGUCGUCGGAAAUUCCUCUGCCAACAAUUCCUAUUGCAGAUGAUAGUCCGAUCUGGGGCAUUCCAACUUCAGAAAUCGGCAGUUGCCGAGGAAAAUAGAAUUCUGUGUCUCCGUGUAAUAGAAAUGUGGGAUGCCUGGGCCAAUGGAAGAGAACCGCCAAGUGUCAUCCCUGGGUUUCCUGAGCUUUUUCCUAGGGCAAGUGGGACCUCCAACGUCCCGACCAGUCACCCCAAUACCCCACUGGGAUAUCCUACCAUCUCGGCCCACUUUGUUGGACACCUUCUGAGGCUCGCCCCCAGGUGUUGAUGUCAGGUGCAACCUCAAAUAUAUUCACUGCGCCACCUUGCUCAGCUACGACACAACCUACACUGCCCAGGCCUAGCUUUGACCCAUCAUCCUUCACCUUCCAAACACCAUCCUUCCCACCAGAACCUACUCAAUUUACUACCGUUGCUUACCCACAACCGCCCCGGUAUGAGGUCACCACAGGGCAAGAGAAAACCGCAAAAACCCUUGAGCAAGAGGAGAUUGCUAGAAAGAUGAGAAGUAUGGAGCAGAGUCUCAAAAACAUACAGGGUCGAGUGGACAGAAAAGUGUAUCCUAUGCCGACUUGUUUAUGUUCCCUCACGUGCAUCUACCACUGGGAUUUAAAACCCCGAAGUUUGAGAAAUAUGACGGGCACAGGGAUCCCAUCGCCCACCUCAAAAGAUAUUGCAACCAGUUGCGGGAAGCGGCGGAAAAGAAGAGCUCCUCAUGGCCUACUUUGGAGAGAGUUUGGUCGGCAUUGCUUUCGAAUGGUAUAUGGACCAAGAUAUAUCCCGUUGGCAUAUCUGGAAUGACCUGGCUCAGGAUUUUGUCAGGCAGUUUUAGUACAAUAUCGACAUUUCCCCUGACAGGAACUCAUUGAAAAAUCUAAAGAAGAAAUCCUCGGAAAGCUUAUGAGAAUAUGCUAUCAAGUGGCGUGAGCAAGCCUCCAAGGUGAAGCCUCCCAUGGACGAAAUUGAAAUGGUCACGGUCUUCCUUCAGGCCCAAGAGGCUGAUUAUUUUCAAAACAUGAUGUCUGCGAUGGGUAAGCCGUUUGCUGAAGCCAUCAAAAUAGGUGAAAUGGUUGAAAAUGGGUUGAAAACAGGGCAAAUCUUAAGCCAAUCUGCUAUAAGGGCGACCUCCUAAGCAAUCCAAGGCAGGUCUGGAGGUGUGGCCAACCGAAAGAAGAAAGAAGAAGCAGCAAUGGCCACUUCAAAUACAAGAAGAUCCCGUCCACCCAGACCUCUUUUCUCUGAAAGAAUCCUACAAUAUUACUACCCCCACCAGGAUGAGGCCUACGAUAUGGCUCCUAAAGCAUACGCAGUGAUGAAUGCCUAACCCUACGUCAGGCCACAACAACAAUUUAAUCAAAACAGAGCUCCAUUUCCCAGAAAUCAACCUCCUUACCAAGCUCACUACACCCCCAGCCUCCACAAAACAACUUCCACGCCCGUGAACCACCCAAGAGGCCAAACUUCACACCCAUCGGUGAAUCCUAUUCCAGCCUAUUCCCCAAACUUGUUCAGAUGGGUUUGUUGCAGCCUGUUCCCCAAACCAGGCAGAAUCCAACAUCACCCGCUUACAAAGUUGGUACUCGAUGCGCCUACCAUUCAGGGGCAAAAAGGCAUGAUACAGAUGACUGUUGGACCCUGAAGAGGGCUAUGGAGAACCUGAUAGAACAAAAGAGAAUCGUGCUAAAGGACGAGGACAUUCCUAAUGUAACCAACAAUCCAUUACCGGCUCACAACAAUGGGCCGAUUAUUGGGAUGAUUUGUGAAGAUAAAGAGUUUGAUCCAGCUCUAAAAGCCAUCAUUGCUAUAGUUGAUGUGGAAAAAAAGCCAAGGGCUGUCACAAAACAAGACAAGGGAGAGAAGAAAAGCAAAACCACCCCUCAGAAGACGGAAAAGAAAGUGGAAGUUGAAACUAGGGCAGCACCCUCCAAAGAUGUCGUUCUUUAUAUUCCUCGAGGCCGCAAGAAAGAACAGAUGUCACUGAGUCCUCUUAGGAGGUUUGAGCUAAACAAGAGAGCUCAAAUGUAUGUGCCCAAGGGGACCUAUGUGAUGCGGGGGCCAAUAAUUCCACCAAGGCUGAGUGAGCCCGUGGUUAUUGGCCGCGCGAAACAAAGGCCCAUGACGGAUUCCACCGCUGUGCCAUGGAACUAUAAAAAAUCAGUAGUGACUUACAAAGGCAAAGAGAUAUCGGCAGAAGUUUAGGAAAAUAGCCUGGCCGAGAAGUACUUCAAUUUGGAAGAGGUGAAUAAUGCCACGAAAAAGCGUUUCCCACCUAAGAAGCCGGUGAGUGCUGAAGAAGUAGAGGCGUUCUUUCAAAAAAUGAAAAUGGCAGAUUACAAGAUAAUCGACCAGCUUCGAAAGUCUCCUGUUCAUGUCUCUCUGUUAUCUCUGUUGAUGAACUCCACUGAACAUCAAAAGGUAUUGAUCAAAACUCUCAACGGAGCAUAUGUACCCGUUUAAACCACUGUAGAACAGUUGGAGAGGAUGUCAGAGAGGUUUUUUGCAAUCAACCAAAUCUCCUUCAGCAAGAAUGAUCUGCCCCCGAAGGGGUUCGCACACAACAAAGCCCUUCACCUGACAGUCAAAUGCGAAGGGUAUUAUGUGAAAAGGGUCAUGUUAGAUGAUGGUUCUGGGGUAGAUAUUUUCCCACUCUCAACUCUGCAGCGUAUGGAAAUCGGUACUGAGAGAAUCAGACCCAACAACGUCUUUGUGCGUGCCUUUGAUGGCAUAAAGAGGGAUACAAUAUGAGAGAUUGAUCUGAUCCUAACUAUCGGUCCGGUGGACUUUGAAGUGACCUUCAAGGUUUUAGACAUGGAUACUUCCUAUAAUUUCCUCUUGGGAAGGCUGUGGAUUCACGCAGCAGGGGUUGUGCCUUCUACUCUCCACCAGAUGGUGAAGUUUGAACAUGAAGAUCAGGAGAUUGUAGUUCACGGGGAAGAUGAUCAGUUGAUUUAUCGGGACCCGUCAGUCCCUUGUCUUGAAGCUAGAGAAGGAAGUGAACAUAUAGUCUAUCAGGCUUUUGAGAUUGUCGUUGUGGACCAAUGUGAAGAAGGAAACCCUUUCCCUCAACCCUUUCUUUCAAAUGCAUCGAUUAUGGUGGCCAAAGAAAUGAUCAAGCAUGGUUACAAACCCGGGAAGGGGCUCGAGAAGUCAUUGCAAGGGAUUGUCGAACCUAUCACUUUGGCUGCUAGUGAGAAGUUCUUUGGGGUAGGUUUCCAACCCACCUCAGCUGAUGGAAAAUGGACGGAUGAAAGAAAGAACAAUGAUUAGGUCUUGCCUUAGCCGAUUUCGCAUCUUUAUAGAACAGUUGUCAAGCCUAAAUACAAUGAGAAAGAGGAAGAUGAGGCCUUCAUGGCCGAAGAAAUCAAAGAAAUCUGUGGGGCUAUGAGGCAGAUGCUGUAUGAAACCCACAUGAUCCAACCAGGGGAAGUCUCAAGCACCGCUGAGGUGCUAUACAUGGGACCUAGUGCUAAACUGUAAAAUUGGAAGGCUACUCCAUUCCUAAUCAGGCUGGAGUCCCGGUAGACCAGUCCUGCCACUUUCUCUGCAUCACGAGUUAUUUUUCUUUAGUUUUCUGUCUUUAAUUUCCAAUGUAAACCCUGUUACCUUCAAAUUCAAUGAAAUGAAAUCAAUAUUUCAUCGUUCAUAUCUCUAUUCUUUCUAAUUUUGUUACUUUUUCUUAUUUUCUUCUUUUCAGUUCUAAUAAUGCGGCUUUAAAUAACAUGACAUGCUUGCGGACUUCAUGCUCAGAUCUAAACACGCUGUCUAACUGUGAAAUAGUGAACCAAGAACCGGAAUAUGAUGAAGAAGAGGCUUUUAGGGAAAUAAAUCGAGAAUUGGAGCAAUUUGAGAAUAAACCUAAGCCGAACUUAAAUGAUACUGAGCCGAUAAAUUUGGGUAAUUCAGAAGAGGUCCAAAGAGACCAUGAUAAGCAUUCACACAGAUNNNNNNNNNNNNNNNNNNNNNNNNNNNNNNNNNNNNNNNNNNNNNNNNNNNNNNNNNNNNNNNNNNNNNNNNNNNNNNNNNNNNNNNNNNNNNNNNNNNNNNNNNNNNNNNNNNNNNNNNNNNNNNNNNNNNNNNNNNNNNNNNNNNNNNNNNNNNNNNNNNNNNNNNNNNNNNNNNNNNNNNNNNNNNNNNNNNNNNNNNNNNNNNNNNNNNNNNNNNNNNNNNNNNNNNNNNNNNNNNNNNNNNNNNNNNNNNNNNNNNNNNNNNNNNNNNNNNNNNNNNNNNNNNNNNNNNNNNNNNNNNNNNNNNNNNNNNNNNNNNNNNNNNNNNNNNNNNNNNNNNNNNNNNNNNNNNNNNNNNNNNNNNNNNNNNNNNNNNNNNNNNNNNNNNNNNNNNNNNNNNNNNNNNNNNNNNNNNNNNNNNGUUCAUAAGUUGCCAACUUACCCUGAUUAUCCCCCUGUUCAGCAAAAGCAAAGAAAGUUUAAAACUGAUAUUAGUGACAAGAUUAAAGAAGAGGUCAAAAAAUAGUUGAAAGCGGGGGUGAUCCGAGUUGUUCGAUACACCACUUGGUUAGCCAAUGUAGUUCCAGUGCCAAAGAAAGACGGGAAAACCCGAGUGUGUGUGGAUUACAGAGAUCUGAACAAAGCGAGUCCUAAGGACAACUUCCCUUUGCCAAACAUCCACAUCCUCGUUGACAAUUGUGCCAAAUAUAAGAUACAGUCUUUUGUGGAUUGUUAUGCUGGGUAUCAUCAGGUCUUAAUGGACGAGGAAGAUGCGGAGAAGAAUACAUUUACAACACCUUGGGGAACCUUUUCCAUAGGGUCAUGCCUUUUGGUCUGAAGAAUGCCGGGGCAACUUACAUAAGGGCCAUGACCACCAUUUCUCAUGAUAUGAUGCACCAAGAGAUAGAGGUGUAUGUGGACGACGUGAUCAUCAAGUCCAAGACCCAGGAUGAUCAUGUUCGGGAUUUGAGAAAAUUCUUUGAGCGGCUGCGUAAAUAUGAUCUGAAGCUAAACCCAGCCAAAUGUGCAUUUGGGGUUCCAUUUGACAAACUUUUGGGAUUCAUAGUCAGUCGGAGGGGCAUCGAGUUAGACCCAACAAAGAUAAAGUCCAUUCAGGAUCUGCCUCCUCUAAGAACCAAGAAAGAUAUUAUGAGUUUGCUUGGAAGAUUGAACUACAUCAGCCGAUUCAUUGCCCAGUUGACAUCUACAUGUGAACCCAUUUUCAAGCUGUUAAAGAAAGACGCAGCAAUUAAAUGGACAGGUGAGUGCCAAGAAGCUUUUAACAAAAUCAAAGAAUACUUGUCGAACCCGCCAGUCUUGGUCCCGCCUGAACUAGGAAGGCCUCUCUUCUUGUAUCUGACAGUCUUGGAGAAUUCUUUUGGAUGUGUCCUCGGGUAACAUGAUGUGAUAGGGAGGAAAGAACAAGCAAUCUACUAUUUAAGCAAAAAGUUCACAAGCUAUGAGUCCAAAUAUACCUUGUUGGAAAGAACUUGCUGCGCUUUAACUUGGGUUGCUUAGAAGUUGAGGCAUUAUUUGUUGGCCUACACCACCUACCUCAUUACUAGGUUGGACCCUUUAAAGUACAUUCCAGAAACCAAUGCCCACUGGAGGUUAGCAAAGUGGCAGAUCCUGCUCACGACAUAGUCUACAUCACUCGCACGACAAUGAAAGCCCAGACAUUAGCAGAUCACUUGGCUGAAAACUCAGUUGAUGAUGAAUACCAACCUUUGAGCACCUACUUCCCGGAUGAAGAGGUAAAUUCAGUUGAGGCAAUAUCCGAGGACACCAAUGCUUGGAAAAUAUUCUUUGAUGGAGCGGUGAACGCAAAAGGUGUUGUAAUUGGGGCAAUCUUGAUCUCACCCACUAGUCAGCAUUAUCUAGCCACAACCCAGCUUCGGUUUUUCUGCACAAACAACACUACCGAGUAUGAAGCCUGCAUUAUGGGUAUGAACAUGACAAUCGACCAAGAUGUCGAAGAAUUAUUAAUCAUGAGAGAUUCAUAUCUGAUUAUCCGACAAGCUUAGAGAGAAUGGGAGACCCGAGAUGUCAAGCUUAUUCCUUAUAGGCAACAUGUGGAGGAUCUCAGCAGGCGGUUCAAGUCAGUAGAGUUUAGGUACAUCCUUCAAUGUCACAAUGAGCUAGAUGAUGCACUUGCUACUUUAGCCUCGAUGCUACCAUACCCAGGCAAUGCCCGCAUUGAUCCCUUGGAAAUCCAAAUCCGAGAAAGGCACGACUACUAUAAUACGGUUGAGACAGAACCAAAUAUUCAGCCAUGGUAUCAUGACAUCAAAAGGUUUCUGAAAACUAAAGAAUACCCCGAGCAGGCCAGCGGUGACCAAAAGAGAACCCUUAGGCGGUACGCAAGUGGUUUCUUCUGGAGCGGUGAUGUUCUGUACAAAAGAACUCCGGACCUCAACUUGUUAAGUUGUGUUGACGCCGAAGAGGCCGGAAGAAUCAUGUAUGAAGUGCACGCAGGAGUGUGUGGACCCCACAUGAACGGGUAUGUUUUGGCAAAGAAAAUCCUUUGAGCGGGUUAUUACUGGAUGACUAUGGAUAAGGACUGCUUCAGUUUCGUCUGGAAAUGUCAUCAAUGCCAGGUGCACGUCAAUUUGAUUCAUGCAUCACCUACAGAACUUCAUCCUAUGUCAGCACCUUGGCCAUUUGUUGCUUGGGGCAUGGACAUCAUUGGGCCGAUUGAGCCGAAAACUUCAAAUGGACAUAGAUUCAUAUUGGUCACUAUUGACUACUUUAGAAAGUGGGUUGAAGCGAUUACUCUCAAAUUUGUUACCAAGAAAGCUGUAGUAGACUUCGUGCAUUCCAACCUCAUAUGCCGUUUUGGUAUUCAUGCAACUAUCAUUACAGAUAAUACUGCAAAUUUGAAUAGUCAUUUAAUGGGGGAGAUAUGUGAACAAUUCAAGAUAACGCAUCAGAACUCUACUCCCUAUUGUCCUAAAGCCAAUGGUGCCAUCGAAGAAGCAAACAAGAACAUCAAAAAGAUUUUGAGAAAGAUUAUUCAAAGUUCCAGGUAGUGGCAUGAAAAGUUGCCUUUUGCAUUGUUGGGGUAUCGCACUACGGUGCGCAUAUCGGUUGGGGCAACCCCGUACCUUUUGGUUUAUGGAACUAAAGCCGUAAUACCCGCGGAAGUUGAAAUCCCUUCUCUCCGGAUCAUUGUUGAAGUUGAAAUUGAAGACAUUGAGUGGGUCAAAACCCGCCUAGAAUAGUUAACCCUGAUCGAUGAAAAGCAAAUGGCCGCGAUCUGCCAUGGGCAGUUGUACCAACAAAGAAUGGCCCGUGCCUACAACAAGAAAGUGCGGCCUAGAAAUUUUGAAGUGGGGCAACUCGUUUUAAGGUGUAUUCUUCCCCAUCAUGAGGAAGCAAAAGGAAAAUUUUCUCCUAACUGGAAAGGCCCAUACAUCAUUAGAAAGAUAUUGCCGAGAGAGGCAUUGUACCUGGGAGAUAUUGAAGGAAAUGAUCCCGAAGCAGCUGUGAAUGCAGACGCGGUUAAAAGGUACUAUGUUUAGUCUUUCUGCGGUGAUGGUAUUGUCCGAUUAUCAUUCUCGCUACCCCAAACACUCCAAUCCUUUGCUAACCCUUCGAGCCGGUUAUCUUUCUUUCAUUGCCCUCUUUGGAACUCGAAGAUGUGUUAAAAAAAAAUGUUUUCCCCAGAACUACGUUCGACUUAAUUUCGAAAGGAUACGUGGGUAGCCUCUCUAUGGGGUUCAGUCAUACCAAAAUAAAAAUCCAAAAUCCUAAAAGUGAAACUGGGGCAGAUGUUAUAAUGGUUCUGCGAAAAUCCCACCUGAACGGUUCUAAAGUUGUAAUUAGAUCCGAAUUCUUUUUACCCAAACCUUGUUCAAGUCCUUCCGAUCAAUCAUCAAAAGUUUUCAAAAUCGGAGAAUGCAGUUGUUUAAAUUCGAUGCAAUCAAGAUGAGAGAAACAAAAUGAGAGAGUCUUAUUGGUGAAAAUCUAUGGGAACUGUAAGGCAAUGAUGAGCAUAGAAAUUGAAAAUAAGAGAGUCUUGUUAGUGAAAACUCGUAAAGAGCACUAUAGGGUGACGGUGAGAAGAGAAAUGAGAGAGGUCGAUUGGCGAAAACCCGCAAAAGGCGCCAUUGAUCAAAAAGAAGGAACACCUCACCACCAUUGGUAUUGAAAGAGUCAUGGCAAGGUUUCUCGGUUUUUAAACAUGGGUCGCUAUGGGUUUAUUAGAAGUUGGAUAGUUGUGCAGAUCGGGUAUCCAGUCCAAGAAGCAUGUCAUGUCUAUUGAAGUCUGCAUGCACCCCAGAUAAGUCCUUCCUUCUUCCCCAAAAGGGACACUCUCCUUAAAUUUAUUUUCUUGUCCUUUGUUUACUUUUCCUUGAAUCCCUUUCGGUCUAACUCUGUUUUCCGAGACAAACACAAAGAAAAGGUGGCAAGAUUGGUCUUACAGGGUUCUACUUAAUAAAAGCCAAAUCCAAAGAAAGUACCUAGCCUCAGUGGGUGCAUCAAGUCGAUCCCGACUGACCAUGUUGGUCAAUGCUCUGAAAUCAAAGUUAUUGAAAAUGAAAAGAAAUCCAAAGUCAAAAGCCCCUAGAGGCAGAAUAAAGUGAAAGGGCCAAAACCCCGUACGAUUGAACCGUCCUGAGAAAAUUGGAAAAGUUGCGUUCCUCGGUUUUAGGAGAGAGAUCAAUCUUCAGAAAACCAACAAGCAACAGAGUUUCUCACCAGAAGAGUGGGACGAGAUCAAAUGAUCAACACAAUCAAGGCCACAAAAUCGACCACCGUUUCAAACUAACAAUUGUUCUUUGUUUGAAAAAAUUGAAACAGGUGCAAUCCAAAGCAACCGUGCAAGAAGCAGGUGCAUCCGAAAAGGAAAAGAUGCGCAAGUGCUAGAAACAGCUUUGCAACAAAUAGUCAAUCCAAAAAGGAAAGUUUCCUCCAAGUUCUUUCUUGCAUUUUAUUAAAUAAUGAAAUAAAAAAUGAAAAAAAAGAAGAAAAUCCAAACAAAAAUGGUAGUUUAAAAUCCCCAACGUCAAUCUUUUACGCUUUACCAACAUUAGGGCUCUAGUUCCUGAGUUGAGAUUUUAGACAUAGGGCCUCCAUUCCCUAGUCGCAUUUUUACCAACAUUAAGGCUCCAAUCCCUGAGUUGAGAUUUUAGACAUAGGGCCUCCAUUCCCUAGUCACAAUUUUGCCAACAUUAGGGCUCCAAUCCCUAAGUUGAGAUUUUAGACUUAGGGCCUUCAUUCCCUAGUCGCCUUUUGCCAACAUUAGGUNNNNNNNNNNNNNNNNNNNNNNNNNUCCUAACAUAGGGUCUCCAAUCCCUGGUUGAGUUUUUAUAAAUAUAGGGCUCCACUCCUUGAUCUCCCUCUACUAGAAGCACAUGACCCUUAUUUUAUUGCUUUCAAUAAAGAGAUAGUGCAAGGUUUUGUUAUAAUAGCUCACGAAAUUUUCCUAGUGAAAACUGAGGCAGAAAAUUUCGUUCGUUUGUUUGUUUUGUUGUUUGAGUAGGUUUGACCUCGAGGCAAAGGGUUCGAGACGACUAAAAGAGUGAGUCUCAAUCCAAAAUAAAAAAAAAAAAAAGAAAACGAGCAAAAAGAAGUGAGCUCAAAGUGCUGAAAUAGAGAAGGAUGUGGAUUGCUUAAAAUAUGAUUGAAGUAUCAGGUUUCGCAUGCCUCACCUUGAUCCAAAGCUGAAGAAUGAACCAGCGGUUACAGCUGACGAGCACUAAGAUUCAGAUCGGAGUCUGCAGCAAGAACCGGCUAAGACUCAAGAUCAAGCUCCAAGAGAUUUAUAGAUAGGAAUCUUAUAACUCGUAGUUGAUAGGCUUAGCUAGUUUAGCUUUUUACUUUCCAUUUUUGGUGUAAUAAGGAGUUCAGCAAGCAGCAACAGUAAAAUCAUAGCUUCCUGGUAGCCCCAGCUACCUAAACUUCAAGAACUACACUGACCUGAUUCCUUUAUAGCCAAGAAUAUGUAGGCAACCUUUGAAGCAAGGUUCGGUCAGACUCUUUUCAGAAAUGCUUCUCAUGGAGUUUCAGAUAGGCAAAAAUCCCUCAUAAUUGCUCAUUUUAUCUUUUCCUGAAAACCCUUCAUGUCUCCGAGCAAAGAGGGGCAGCUGUGAGCACGUGAUUUUUGCCUCACAGGAAUUAAUCCUACAGAAUUCCCAAAAAUUAGAUUUUCCUUUUAAUUAUUUGUUAUUUUAGGAAUUAUUGUAGAAUUUUUCCAAUUAUUGCAUUUUUGUGCAUGUUUAAGUUUUAUUUAAUUCAUGACAAAAUACAAAAAAAAAAUACAUUGCAUUGCAUUUAGGACUUAAUUUUACAUUUUUAGAUUAAUUAGUAAAUUAGUUGUUUUAUAAAAAUGAAAAAAAAUCACAAAAAAAUAGUUCAUUUUUGUAUUUUUGUUUUUUAAUUUUAGUUUAUUGAUUUUUCACUUUUAAUAUAGAUAUUAAGUGAGGUUUGUAAUUUUUCUUAAUUAGUUUGAUUUCACAUUUUAGAUAAUUUAGAAAUUUUUAAUUAUUAGGAUCGUUUUUAAUUAAAAAAUUAAAAAAAAGAAAAGAAAAAGUAAAUUAGAAAUAAUAGAGGAAUUAGAAAAGAAUUUGGGCCACCUUUAGUUUAAUUCCCCCAGCCCAAACAUUUCCCUACAAAAUAAGCCCAAAUCGGGCUACCCUGCUUCACCGCCCCAACCCAAAUAAUUGGGCUGACCCGCCUAUUCUGACCCGUUUCCCUCUUAAUAUAAAAUCCCUCUUAUAAUUUUUCCCCCAUUUGAACCCUAAACCUAGAGAAAUCAGAAGCGGCGCGGAGUGUGGUAUUCAUCAUCUUCCUCGCCACAACUCACCAUCACUCACCCGAGUUCACUCAAAAUGGCCCCCCCUCCACGUCAUUUGAUUCCUAACGGUUUUUGUCAGAGAAGCGUACGAUUAUUCCCUCAAAAUCGCAGAUUUUUGUACAAAAGGACAAUUAUUGGACGAAUGAGAGCCGUGGGUAGAUGUGAAUUAAUCCACGCCCUCCAUUUGUCCCAAAAUUAUUCAAAAACUUGAGAGAUUUUUCGGAGUUUUGGCAGAUUUUGGAGAAUUUUUGAGGGCUCUCUAUAUAUGAGGUAAGUCUUCUGUGCUAAGGGAGAAUUAGAGAGAAAAAAAAAUUAGAGGAAAAAGCGAAGAAAUCUUCAACAACUUAGCCUAAAAACUUCUAGGGAUUUGUAGUCGUCACUUUUCUUCAAGCUCUCAUCUUCUUCCGUCUGCUUCUUUCAUUUUCAGAAAACAUAUAUAAAAAAAUAUUUUGUUUUCUCAAGAGAACUUGAUUUAAAAAUUCAAGUUGUGGUCGAGUUUGUUUUUUUUUGGAGCUCAAAUUUCGACAAUGUUUCAGUCAAGCUGGUUGAUUCCUGUGUUCUUGCUGUUGUUCGUUUCAAGCUUUGAGUCGUCGUUUUACUCGUGUUGGUUUAAACUGUUGUAAUCGUUGAAGUUUGAUUAAUUGAAAGCUCCAAUUCCAGGUUCAUAUUUCUUCCUUUUGCUAUGUUUUUCUUUCUUUUCUCAGUGUUACUGUCGUAUGGGUGUGAUUAAAGUUUGGUGAUGCCGUACUCUCUCUUUAGUUGCUGUGAUUGUAAUGUAUGAGAAGCUCAUUGAGACAGAUGCAUAUGCUAAGCUUUCUUCAUAGAAUUGUGUGGAUAUGCUCUUAUCAGUAUGUUUAGUUCAUUUCUUAGCCUUUUGUUUGCGACUUGAUGUCGUUGCUAGGGUAACAGUAUCGUGUGGGAAUUGUUGAAGUUUGGUUAAAAAAUGUCUUUGCGUUUUCUCUUGAUUUCUUCAAUCAAAAAAACCUGAAAUCCUCAUUCAGAGAAUGUCAUUCCUUUGUUGGUAUAAACCUGAAGCAAAAUUUUAGAACCUCGUGUGCUAAUCUGCAUUUUGCCAUUUGUUAAAGUGUAACAUGUUAGUUUCGAGUAAGCUGUGUUUUUAAGGCAAUGGAGUUUCCAGUUCCUGCUAUGCCGCUCGUUGAUUUAGCCUCUGAUUUGUCAAAAAUAUUGAAUUUUUUUCAUUUGAGUGUGACUCCUUCAAUGUGAGCAGCUUCAUUGUGUUAGUUGUAUUCCUAUUUUUGGUAAAUCUCAGCCAGUGUAGUUUUGAGCUUUGUUUUCUAAUAGUACUCAUAACCAGUGCCGUUUUGAUCAUUAUGUUGUGGUUCUGGUUUUGUUUGCAGUCAAUUAGUUACUCUUCCAUGUCCCUUGUUUUGUCAACAAUGAUUUUCUUUAAAGUAACAGAUGUAGACAUCUUAUAUCGGCUUGCAUAUUGGCUUGGACUCUUUUGGUUGCUGCUGUUUAGUGUAGUACAUUUUUGUGCUUUGCUUAUUAACAUCCUAAUAUCUCAUUAAGAUGAUGUAUUUUGUAUUUUCCCUUUAACUGAUUUAAUGACUGAAUUUGUCUGAGUCACCGCUGCAUUUAGAUCAUUUCAGUAACAUUAUUUCUUUUGAAAUCAUGGUUGGGCAGAAUAAACUUCUAAAGUUUGUUUAUUGAUGUAAUAUUUCAAGUGCGGCUGUUUGAUAUAACAAAUCAGUUCUUUUACAUUCAUGAAUUGAGGCUAGAAGUUGUACAUUGUUUUCCAAUUUCAUGUCAUUAUAUGCAAAUCUACUCUUUAGCUAUUGAUUCAUGUUGAUGCCAAAUAAUUAAGAAGGAAGUUGACUGAUUCGCGCAAAGGUCAUUGCUGCGGCCUUGUAUUCAGAAAUUGGUCAAUUUAGCAAAAUUGGACCUAUGAGUAUAAAGUUCUAAAUGUCUUGCCGCAUCUUUGUUGAUCGCAUGGAGGAUAAGGUUCAUUCCAUGACUAAAACAUGAAUCUGCUGUAUUGAGUGUUGUUUAUAGUUGUGAAGAUAUAUUAAAGAGAUAACCAUGCAGUUUAUUCACCAAUAAUUUGUUUUCCACAAUCUACGGCCUUGUAGUAAUUUAAACAAGCUUAGGAAAUAAUCACUCAUGAACACCGUAGUUUGCUUUAGGCUAGAUUUAGACUAAUGUUAUGAUUGUGUAUACGUACGCGUAACAUAAUUGCAAAUUUAAUUCUAAAAAAUGACUCGAGGGAUGUGUUCGCGCAACUUCAACCAAACUUUUCUUAAUAAAAUAAACAAAGCGUUAUUAAUGGUGAACAUAUUUGCGUGACAUGAUUUUUGACGCGCCAAAAGAAAAGAGUAUACGUACGCGUAACUCAAUUCUUUAAUUACUAAUAAAUCAAGUGAUUAAAAGCGGUUAAAAGGUAAAUGCACAUAGGUCCUAAAAAUGAGUAGUUGAACAAUUAAGCCAAGUAUAAAUUGCUAAGCGAUCGUGCUAGAACCACGGAACCCGGGAAUGCCUAACACCUUCUCCCUAGUUAACAAAAUUCCUUAUCUAGAAUUUCUGGUUCGCAGACUUCAAAGGGAAGUCGAAAUUUCCUCGAUUUGGGAUUUAAAAUAAACCGGUGACUUGGGACACUAAUUAAAAUAUUCCAAGUGGCGACUCUAAUUAAUUAAAUUAAUCCCAUUUCGAAUAAUGUCACUUAAAUUGGAAAAAUUCUCUCAAUUUAGGCUUACCUAGUUGUAGAGGACUAGGUGCUGUCACAAUGGUUCACGGAGGGUGAACCGGGGUCGUGACAUAACGUAUGUGAGAGAUCAAUAUAGAGGGUUUAAAGGCGGGAUUAGAGAUAACAAAACCUUGGUGCGAUAGUAGUGAGCGGUGAAUUAGUGCCAACUAGCAUAGUUUGAGAGAAUAUGUCUAGUAAAUUAUGGUAGUUGCUCCAGAGAGAGCUACGAUACCCAAAUUGCUCAUGAUCGGUAGAGAAUACUAAGGCUAAUUUAUAGGAAACGUAGAGGAGGAGAUUCCGACAAUAGGGGAAAUCGUAACUCUAGACCUCUCCUUAUUUUUUUCUCUAACUCUUAGUAUCUCAUGUUAUUAAUUUACUACUUUAAUUUGUUAGUUAAUUAGUUAGACAUAAGAAUCAUAAUAUUUAUAACAUAGGAAUUGUUCGAGCUUGUCUUCUUAGUGAUAGUAAGCAGUUAUAGUUAAGCCUUAGUUUUCUGUGGGAUUCAACUUCGGACUCGUAAACUGAAUUAUAUUUGCAACGACCGCUUAUUAGGCGUGAUCAGUCCAAUUCACUAUUUUUUUUUGGUAUAGAAGUAUCUUCUUUCUCAAAGGAAUUAGUGUUAAGUCAAGACAAAUAUAUCCGAGAUUUUCUCUUAUGGACAAAUAUGGGAGGGGCUAAACCUUUUUUCUCAUUAACCAACUAAUCGGUCCACCAACUAAGAAAGAAGGGGCUAAAUCUAUCUCCGCUUCAAUGAUGUCAGGACUUCAAUUGUCACAUGGCACUAUCCAUCCUUUGGUUAUCCUAGUUUGUUUCGCAGCCUAGACGGACGCUACUAGAAAACUGUUUAAAAAUAUCGAUCGAAAUCAAUCCGAAAAUUAAAGAAAUCCAUCAAUUUUCGACCGACUUUAAUCCGUCAAAAUUACUUGAAUGCAACAUUUCAUAAUUAGGAAACUACAUGUUACUUACUAAUGCUUUAAAGAGUUAUGAUGUGAUAAUUUGUCUGCAUCCUAUGUUAUUGCCAAGCCUAUGUUUUUUAACUAUAUCGAGUUUGAGUUUCAUUUUGUUGCAAAGAAAGUACAGUCCAAGGAUCUUGAAGUUUGGUAUGUCAGCGCCCUUGAUCAGAUUGCGGACAUUCUCGCAAAAAGUUUGUCACCUCCGAGGUUUCAAUUCUUGUAAUUUAAAUAUCACUUGAGAUGGACAUGUACUUGUAACUCAAAUAUCCGUCGAGAUAGAUAACUAGAUAUCCUUCUCUCAUUCACGACUUGUACCUAUAAUUAUAAGACUAAUGUAUUCGAUACUGAUUUUACUACUUCAAUAUCAAAUUCUUGCGGUCACUACAAAAGAAUACUUUUUAUAGUGUUGAAUACGGUCGGAACUGGGCUCAUCUAUUGCGUGACGGAUCGGACCGAAACGUGAUGGAUUGAAGAUCCAAAGUACGAAGUCAGAACAUACGUCUCUAAGAUUUUCGAGCCCGUGACUCCGGAACCGACCCCGAUUCCGAAUAAGCUUGAGAAAACAUUAUUGGACUCAAUAAGGGAAAGCCGAAAUAUCCGCCACCGGUCGGAUAUCACGGCAGAAAUCUCGGCACGUAUCAACGAGAGACCGACUAAUUAGCAAAUCAUGAGAUUUCUUACUUUUUAUAGAAUUGUACCUAAAGAAGGACUUCCCUACUAUAUAAAGGGGGUUUGAUUAUUUGUAAUACACGUUGUAACACGCAUCCCAAAAGCAUUAUAAUAUUAUUUUCUUGUUGCAAGCUACUGUUUUUCUAUAUUUGACAUCACUUGGACCAUAUUCAGUUCGAGUGAGAUCUAUUUCUCAAGGCUAUAACUAUUCAAGUCACACGGUUUGAAUUUACUUUAUUAUUGUUUGCUUUAUUUAUAAUUCAAUCUAUCGCUUUGUGUCAAAUUAAUCCACGUAUCCUUAAAACCACUUAUAAAUUCAAUUGUUCUCCAAUUUUGAGGGUAAACAGUUUGGCGCCCACCGUGGGGCUAAGGAUAAUAGUGGUUAUUUGAUACAAAUUUUCAUAACACACACUAUUUUACACUUGUUCUUUAAAGUGUCUCUGAUUUCAGGCUUAAGCUCAAAACGUCAAACUCAGAAUUAACACCUCUACUUGCUGACAAUGAAUCUAGUCAUCAUGGUGAGAACAAUAACAUAACACUUGAUAACGAGGUACCGCCCAUUGAUCCAGUCAGAAUUCCAAUUACGGACCCAUUGGACGCUAAUUUGCACGUGGCUAUUGACACAAGCCUCCCUGCUGACCUCGAUAAUAGUGUCCGUGGUGGAGCUCGAUCGACAACACAUAAUACUCAAAAUAAUUAAGGAGACGGGGUCAAUCUAUGGAUGAUUUUCGAAAUAUUGUAGGCUCAACAGGCGGCAAUAGCUCAGUUACAAAACCAGAGCCGCGUACCGAGCAGGAUAGAGCCCGACCCGUUUCGAGAGACCACUCGUAGGGAGGAACUGGUCGCAAAAGAGUCAAGUGGGAACGAGUCAGGUAACAACCCCGAGAUCAUAAAAAUGCUCGAGGAGAUGACAAAACGAAUAGAAUCAGGGGAGAAGAGAAUCGAAGCAAAUGACAAAAAGGUGGAAACCUACAAUUCUAGGAUCGACCAGAUCCCUGGAGCGCUGCCGAUAUUGAAAGGCUUGGAUUCGAAGUUGUACAGAAACUUUUCCCUCCGACUACGGCUUCCAAAACCGAUCCCUAAAAAGUUUCGCAUGCCCGAGAUUCCUAAGUACAAUGGAGCGACCGGCCCAAACGAGCAUGUCACUUUAUACACAUGCGCCAUCAAAAGAAACGACUUGGAAGAUGAUGAGAUCGAGUCUGUCUUGCUGAAGAAAUUUGGAGAAUCCUUGUCAAAGGGAGCCAUGAUAUGAUAUCAUAACUUACCCCCUAAUUCUAUUGACUCAUUUGCUAUGCUUGCAGACUAUUUUGUGAAAGCACACGCCGGGGCUAUCAAGGUCGAAACCAGAAAAUCAGACCUCUUCAAAGUAAGGCAAAAGGAUAAUGAAAUGCUCAGAGAGUUUGUAUCUUGGUUGCAAAUGGAACGGAUAGACCUGCCACCAGUCGCUGAUGAUUGGGCCGUUCAAGAUUUUACCCAAGGACUCAAUGUUUGAAUUUCGAUGGCUUCACAAUAGUUGAAGGAGAAUCUAAUAGAAUAUCUGGCUGUCACUUAGGCUGAUGUGCAUAACUGAUAUCAAUCGAAGAUCAGAGUCGAAGAUGAUCAACUAGGGACUCCUUCCGGGUACCCAUUGACAGAGUCAAGAGGGAUAUCGAUCGUGAACCAAGGUCGAACAGGGAUCGGUAUCAGCCGUACAAUAAGGAUCGAAGAAACUGUGGGUACGGACGGGGUCCCAUGCAAAAUGAAAGGAUAAAUGACUGAGGCCAGAGCAGUCGGGGACUCAUGAGCAAGAACUAUUUCGACAGGCCUAUCAGACCUAGAGAAGCACCAAGGUUAUCAGAAUAUAACUUUAACGUUGAUACCGCUGCUAUCUUACCGUCUAUCGGACGCAUCAACAAUACCAAAUGACCUCGACCUAUACAAUCCGACCUAGCCCAAAGGGAUCCAAACCAGAUGUGCAAAUAUCAUGGCACUCACGGCCACAAAACAGAGGAUUGCUGACAGUUGAGAAAGGAGGUAGCACAACUAUUCAACAACGGGCAUCUUUGAGAAUUCCUGAGUGACCGAGCCAAGAAUUAUUUCAGAAAUAGGGACUCCAAUAAACAAACUGUACAAGAAGAACCUCAACAUGUCAUUCACAUGAUCAUCAGAGGGGUCGAUGUUCCUCAUGGCCUGAAGUUAAAGCGCACGAAAGUAUCCAUCACAAGGGAGAAACAGACUUGAGAUUACAUACCAUAAGGAACUUUAUCUUUCAGCGAUGAGGACGUAGAAGGAAUCAUGUAGCCCCAUAACGAUUCACUGGUAAUAUCUGAACUCAUGAAUAAAUCUCGAGUUAAACAUAUGUUAAUUGAUCCAUGUAGCUCGGCCAACAUCAUUCGAUCGAGGGUCAUAGAACAACUCGACCUACAUGACCAAAUCGUGCCUGCAGCCCGAGUGCUAAAUAGAUUCAACAUGGCUUGUGAAACUACUAAGGGAGAAAUAACAUUACCAAUAAAUGCUGCUGGAACUAUCCAGGAAGUCAAGUUUUAUGUGAUCAAAGGGGACAUGAGGUACAACGCCCUGUCUGGGAGGCCAUGGAUCCACGACAUGAGGGCAUUACCCUCGGUCCUUCACCAGGUGUUAAAAUUCCCAACGCAAAGAGGGAUUAAAAUAAUCUAUGGGGAGAAACCGACCACAAAGAAAAUGUUCGCAGUCCAAGAAGUGAUUCUGGUAUCAACACUGACGACAUCGAAUGAACCAAGUUCAAAUACAAAGCAGGAAACUAAAUAGCACUUAUCUACACCAGCCACGACCCAAUCGGAUAAACAGGGGACCAACGAAGAUGAUGAUUAUGGGGUUCCCAGGUCUUUUAUAGUACCGAUGACUCCGAUGCUACAAAAUCAACGGUCAAAGAGCUGGAGCAAAUCACAUUGAUCGAACAUCUACACGAUCAGAAAGUACCACCUGGGCACUGGGUUAACCUCCGAGCUCAGGAAAAAACUCAUUUAAUUUCUCAUAGCUAACAUAUUAUUUUUCUUGGUCCCAUCUCGACAUGACAGGGAUCUCAACGGAGAUAACCACUCACAAGCUGAGCCUGGACCCGAAAUUCCACCCGGUCAAGCAGAAAAGGAGACCUAAGUCUGAGACCAAAUAUGUUUUCAUCAAGGACGAGGUAACUAUACUCCUUAAAAUAGGGUCCAUUCGGGAAGUCAAAUACCCGGAAUGGUAAGCAAAUAUAGUAGUAGUCCUAAAAAAGGGAACAAACUAAGAAUGUGUGUAGAUUAUAAAGAUUUAAACAAGGCAUGUCCCAACGACUCUUUCCCUUUUCCCAACAUCAAUCACAUGAUCAAUGCCACGGCCGACCACGAGAUCUUCAAUUUUCUCGAUGCCUACUCCGGGUACAAUAAAAUACGGAUGAACCCGGAUGAUCAGAAAAAGACCUCUUUUAUCACUAAGUAUGGCACAUACUGCUAUAACGUGAUGCCAUUUGGAUUAACGCCGGCUCCACUUACCAACACCUAGUAAAUUGAAUGUUCGAAGAACAAAUAGGGAAAUCCAUGGAAGUUUACAUUGACGAUAUAUUGGUUAAGUAUCUGCAAGCAGAUGACCAUUUAAAGCAUUUGCAGGAAACCUUCAAUAUCUUGAAGAAGUAAAACAUGAAGCUAAAUCCGGAGAAAUGUGCGUUCAGAGUCGGAUCAGGUAAAUUUCUCGAGUUCAUGGUAUCCAACCAAGGAAUGGAGAUCAACCCCGACAAGAUCAAAACUAUCUAGGACGUAAAGGCCGUGCAAAGGCUAACCGGGGGCAUUCCUGCCCUGGGCAAUCCAUCUCGAGGUCUUCCGAUAAGAGUUACCGAUUUUUCUCGUUACUGAAGAAAAAAAACAACUUCACAUUGACCCCGGAAUGCCAACAGGCCCUAUAAGAACUUAAGCGAUAUUUAUCGAGCCUGCCACUGCUUCACAUGCUGAGGCCGGACGGACAACUAUUCUUGUAUCUGGCAGUAUUGAAAAUAGCGGCAAGUGGAGUUCUAGUUCGGGAAGAACAAGAUACGAAAUUUCCAAUUUAUUACGUUAGAAGGACCCUGGGUGAGGCAAAAACUAGAUACCCUCACCUAGAAAAAUUGGCGCUCGCUUUGCUAAGCACCUCUAGGAAAUUGAAACCGUAUUUUCAGUGCCAUCCUAUAUGUGUUGUGACAACUUACCCAUAGCGAAAUAUAAUGCAUAAACCCAAACUCUCAGGAUGAUUGGCCAAAUGGGCCAUGAAAAUUAGCGGUACAAUAUUGAGUAUCAACCUUGGACAACCAUUAAGUCUCAAAUUUUGGCAGAUUUUGUGGCCGACUUUAAGCCGGCCCUAAUACCCGAGGUUGAAAGAGAGAUAUUCGUAAACUUUGGGACAUUUUCGGGAAUCUUGACCCUCUUUACGGACUAUGCCUCGAAUGCAAAGGGGUCUGGACUUGGUAUCGUAGUGAAGCCACCCACAUGCAAUGUAGUUAGACAAUCCAUCAUAACUGUGAAAUUAAUAACAACAAGGCCGAAUAUGAGGCCAUGAUUGCAGGUCUCGAACUAGCCAAAAUCUUGGGGGCGGAGGUGAUUGAAGCUAAGUAAGACUCCCUCCUUGUGGUGAACCAAAUUAAUGGAACGUUCAAGGUUAGAGAAGAACGAAUGAAAAGUUACCUAGAUAAGUUGCAGGUAACAUUACAUCGGUUCAAAAAGUGGACUUUGCAGCAUAUACCUCGAGAUUAGAAUAGCGAGGUCGAUGCCCUUGUGAACUUAGGGUCGUCGGUUGAAGAUGACGAACUGAACUUGGGAGCAGCUGUACAACUUAUAAGAUCGAUAGUAGAAGAAGGUCAUGCUGAAAUAAACUCCACAAUCUUAACUUGGGAUUGGAGAAACAAAUACGUAGAGUAUUUGAAGACAGGGAAACUACCCUCAGAUCCAAAAGAAUCGAGGACCCUAUGCACAAAGACAACCUGAUUCAGCUUGUCGGAGGACAGAACCUUGUUUAGAAAAAUGUUCGAUGGCCCACUAGCAAUAUGUCUGGGACCGGGAAAUACCGAGUAUGUUCUAAGAGAAGUCCAUGAGGGAACCUGUGAAAAUCAUUUAGGCGCCGAAUCAUUGGUUCGAAAGGAAAUCAGAGCCGACUAUUACUGGAUCGACAUGGAAAAAUAGGCGAAGGAGUUAGUAAGAAAAUGUAAUGAAUGCCAAAGACAUGCUCCGAUGAUUCACCAACCCGGGGAACUGCUGCAUUCGAUCUUGUCAUCAUGGCCACUCAUGAAGUGGGAAUGGACAUUGUUGACCUUCUUUCAUGGGCACCUGGUAAGGCUCAAUAUAUAUUAUUUAUGACUGACUAUUUUUCUAAGUGGGUUAAAUCACAAGCUAUGGGAAGGUCAGGAAGAAGGAAGUCAUUGACUUCAUUUGGGACCACAUCAUAUGUCGGUUCAGAAUUCCAUCCGAAAUCGUAUUUGACAAGCAAACAAUUUGUCAGUAGCAAAGUGGCCAACUUUAUCGAGGAUCAUAAGAUCAAAAAGAUCCUGUCAACACCUUAUCACCCUAGUGGGAAUGGACAAGCUGAAUCGACCAACGAAACCAUACUCCAAAACCUCAAAAAAGGUUAACUGAUGCCCAAGGAAAAUCGAAGGAAAUCUUACCUGAAAUCCUAUGGGCAUACCGCACGACCUCAAAGUCUAGUACUAGGGCCACCCCAUUCUUACUGGUUUACGGUGCCGAAGCUCUAAUACUGGUCAAAGUCAUUGAACCAAGUGUUAGAUUCCAAUAUUCAACAAAGGAAUCGAAUGACGAGGCCAUGAGUACGAGCCUAGAGCUAUUAGACGAAAGGUGCGAAGCCCCCUUCGUCCAGUUGGCUGCCUAAAAAUAGCAGAUCGAGAGGUAUUACAACCGAAGGGCCAACCUUAGACACUUUAAUAUCAGGGAAUUCGUACUAAGAAGGUCACACUGAACACCUGGAAUCCAACGAAAGGAAGUUGGGUCCGAACUAGGAAGGACCAUACUAAAUUCUCGAGGUCACCGGGAAAUGAUCGUACAAACUCGGGGCAAUGAACGGUGAAAGACUACCAAAUAACUGGAACAUAACUCACUUGAAACGAUACUACUGCUCCGAUACAACCCCAUUCAUUUUCUUUUUACUUGUUUUUGGACUAACACUUGCAGGUAACCAACAAAAAGCGAAACAUAUUUUCAAGUCUGAAAGCUCGCGUUGCACUCUUUUUACCUUGAAUCGGUUUCGUCCCAAAUGGGUUUUUCAUCAAGGUUUUUUAGGAGGAAACAAUGGAUCGUGCUAACUUAGAAUAGAAGGCCUAUCAUGAAUCGGUGUUGAAGAUCGCAUCAACAGUAUCCGAGGCUUCACUCUAUGAUCAACCUCGAAUACUGGGGGGCAUUGCCCUCGGAUAUCAACUUAGCAAGGAAAAGUACUUCAUAAUAGAAGGGUCUCGAUAGGUAGGAUUUAUUGUAAGGGCUAAACGGUCAAACGAACCGUGCUCGCAUAGGUUGCUCAAGCCUUACCAUAAAGCAUGUACGAAUGUAUAAUUAUUUUACACAAGAAUAAAAAAAGUCUCUCCCUUGCAGAUAAAUAUUUUGUUUACAUCCGACCCCUUAAAAGUAUCGAGCCCAAGGGACACCUUAAAUACGAGUUUGAACAAUUACUCUCACUCAGGGACUAAACAAACUCGGAUGGUCCGAGCCAUCGGAGCUCGAGGGCAUAAGACUUAUCAGGCAAUGCCUGAUCUUAAAGGCCAUGAGCAUCCCCACUCAAGGACUGUUAUCCUAGGCAAGCCCGGAUAACUCGGGUCGACCAGCCCACUUGGCGACACCAAAACUAAAAAGGUCACAACCAAAUUAAAACUGCUCGGAGACGUCCGAGAAACCGUAACAAAGACAACAAGGCCUUAAAAUUUCUAAACCGGUUCUAAAGGCUACCCUCGGCAGACUAUGAAAUAUAAAAUAGUUUAAGUGCUUGGGGGAAAGAAAAUUUUCAGUCACAUCGAACCCCUAUGAUGCCUUAAAACAAAAUAAAGUUGAAGGCAAGGUUUCUUCAAGUUUAUGAACAAAAUCUAACUAUUUCAUGCCAAGGCAUUUAGAUCUUUGCAAAUAAAAGUACAUAAAGCAAAGUGAAAAAUCAAAAAUGGUUAAAGGAAAAAAGCCUUAUAUUCAUAAUCAAAGUUCUUUUUACAAGGGCCAAAUAUCCCGAUAAGAAAUUUUACAAAUGCCGAAGGGCCCUAACAAAAAAUUUAAAAAAUGAAAACAUCUAAAGGCCUAAGUGACCUAGUCUUCGUCGGGGACAACAUCAUCACCCUCGGGAUCUCCGCCAUCUUUGGAAUCUUCCAAGUCUUCGGGCUCUUCGUGGUCAUCGGGAUAGGCCAAUUUUAACCAUUGGCUUUGGCGCUCUCGAGCUCUUUGGCGCUCUCGAUCUCAGCUGCUAGGUUGAAACCUCGAGCAUGCAUUUCCUCAAAGGCCUCCCUUCAAGAUUGCCAUUUAACAUGAUCGAUGAUGUCUUUUUCUCAAACCUGAGCCACCUCGACAUUGUUCUUAUAAACAGCCACCAUCUCAUUGGCAUCAGCCUUAAUUACCUUGGCCCCCGACUUGGCCGUUUCGAGCUCCGUGGCCAGAUUUUCUCAAAAGAGACAUCCGAAUUCAACUGGGACUGGAGCUCCUCGAUCUUCUUGGCCUGCACUGAGGACUUCUCCUUUGUACCUCGGAGCUGGACUUUAGCCGAAGCCAGUUGUGCCCGGUAAGUCUCCUUUUCUUAGGCCAGGCGGUCCAUGUUCCUUUUCUAUUCUCCGGCCUCAGCCUUUACUACAUCUAUAUUUUCCCGGAGCUAUCCGAUCUUGUCGAUCUUCUAUUGGACCUGUGGGUUCAGAUCAUUAGUCACCAUGUCCGAUUCGUUGUCACUAAAUUUAAAAAUUCUUCUUACAUGUUCAGCCAGGUCGGCAUGCUCUUUUCGAGCCACCUCUAAAGCCCCGAGACCCUUAGCCUCCCCUUCUCUUUGCUUACUGAGAAGUUUGUAAGCAUCUCUUUUCUCAGUGAACCCUCCUUGUACUAGUUCAGCUCUUUUCGGUAUCGCAGGAACAUCUCAUGGUGGAGUACCUAAGCCUACAAACAUAGAGAGAGAAGUUACGAUCAUCUACAAAAUAAUCUAAGUACAAACUAGAAAUUAUUAAGAGCUAUCUGAGGUUACCCAAUUUAAUACUUGUUGGGCUUCAUUGAACAAACAAGGCACUUCCACCUUAUUCAUCUUGGCAUGAUCCUCCCUGAUCACCAAGCACCAAAGGUAACUGGCCACCCCCAUAGGGGUAUAAAAAACCCAGGCAUCUUCUAGAAUGGACAUAACAAUUGACCACUUCCAAUCAGGAUUCAAACUCCGGGCUGCGAACCGAUUGACUAGUUUCGGGCUCGAGGUAGGUCCACUCGUCCCCGAUGAUGGAUUCUUCUUCGGCACCAGUAUAUCACCCAACCCGGUGAUUUCCUCUAUAGCGGUAGAGUCUACUCCAUCAAAGAAGUUUUGAAAGGAGUCUACCGCUCCUUGUGGCUCAUUGUUGGGUCAUUUUUUCAGUGCUUGAGCAUCGACAAACAUAAACUCGGUAAAUAAUGGCGAACUGAAAAGGUAUAUCACUUCGGGUAUGCCCUUUAGAGCACUAUCCACUGUUUGGGAAGUACCAACUAUGAUCUCGUUGUCAGGCUCCCUAUCUCGAGGCGAAGCGGCCUCGCCUCUUUUUGGGUUGGAAGCUUCGGCUAAAGCUCCCUUAUCGACCUCCCCCAAUUGAGGCAAUUCAGUUUCAGCUCUCACCGGUUCGGGGGCCCCUCGUACCUCGAGCCCUGACAGCACACGGACCACUAGUUCAGAGGUUUCUUCUUCUUCUUCUUUUAACUCAUCCUUGAUCCGAUGGAGUGAGUCCGAAGAGGGCGCCCGAGCAUUGGUGCUACCCUUAGGUUUACGAAUCAGACUUCUUUUUGUUCUCUUCUUUUCCGAGCUCGGAGAACUCAGGGACCUAUUCCUUUUCUUCACAUCACACUACCUCAGAGCAGGGGACUCGGCAGGCACAUCCUCGUCACCAAACAGAGGCAUCAUAGCAAAAUCUUUGGGAAUACCUACAAAAGAAAACAGAAUGAAUAAGAACUCAAUGGAACGAGGAAAAAAUCAAAUAUUCUUUAAUUUGAAAAAGGAAACUUACUAUGGGAACAAGCAUCCCACCGGCCCUUCGAGAGUUCGUGCCACGAAUGCUCAUAAUAGGGUUUCUAUGACAUAAGGCCCUCAUCCCACUCCUUGAGUUGAGGAAUAGCUGCGCCACAAAACGUCGAUAGAAGGGAGAAAAAAGGGAAAAAUAAUAAAUGAAAUCUUUAAGGCAAGGUUAUACUUAUGUUUCAUGUUCCAUUUCUUGGGAAAUGGCAUGUCCUUGGUUGGGAUUAUAUUUGAGGUCUUCACUCAAACGAAUUGGCCCAACUAGCCAUGGUCUUGAUCCUCGUCUAUACUCGAGAAUGGGGCCUUACUGGCCUGACGGAAAAGUUUUAUUAAUCCCCCUGGAUAGAGUCGGGGAUUGUACAGACGCAUGAGAUGAUCGAGGGUGGAGGGACACGCAUCGAUUUUGUUUACAAAUAAGUGGAGGAAAAUUACUAUCCUCUAGAAAGAGGGAUGGAUUUGACCGAGGGUCACCUCAUACCUCUUAUAAAAGGCAAUAAUGACCGGGUCCAAGGGGCCCAACAUGAAGGGAUAAGUGUAAACACUUAAAAACACCCUCCACGUGGGUAGUAAGCGCUUCCUUAGGCGUGGGUACCACCACGUGUUUAUUAACCCAAUUAAAAUCCUUUUUGACCUUGGAGAGGAAACCAUCAUUGAUCGAGCAUAUAUAUCUCGAGGCCAGCUCGCAUCGACCCAUUACUGAGGAAGUUUUUUCAACCUUGAAAUCAGCACCGAUCGAGCACCCACCAGGAAUAAACACUUCAAGGUGAGGUUCCACUGCUGGUUCCUUACCGGCCGGCCGUGAUAAAACGACAAUUUCUUUUUGUGGAACUAUCUUAGAAGAUUUUGCCAUUUUUUGAAUAGAGAUUAAGGAGAGGAAGUGAAAAGUUACUCUUAAUGUUUUGGAAUGAAGACAAGCGAAAAUUCUUGUAAAAACCUCAAGAAAUCUGGUACAAGUGUUAGAGAAUGCAAAGAUUUUCUAAGAACAAGAGUAGAACAGGUUUAAACGUAAAGUUUGAAUGAAUGAAGGAUGGAGUAUAUGUACUAUUCAAAAGAUGGUUCAAAGUCUGUAGGGGCCGACCAACGACUACGAACAUUUAAUGCCAUUAAGAUGUGACUGACGAGACUUUUUGUCUAUUUUUGUCGUUUCUAACGCAAAGUAUUGAGAUCAGGAUCAGGGGAUCAUAUCGUUUCUCGUCGUUACACUCCGAAAAAUGAAGGAAAUAUCUAUAUACGGCCGAUACAAGGCUCAUCUAUUGCGUGACGGAUCGGAACCGAAAUGUGAUGGAUUGAAGAUCGACCUUAAGUUCCAUCGAAUCAGAGUACGAAGUCCGAACAUACAUCUCCAAGAUCUUCGAGUCCGUGACUCUGGAAUCGACCCCGAUUCUGAAUAAGCUCGAGGAAACAUUAUCGUACCCAAUAAUGGAAAACCAAAAUAUCCGCAACCAUUCAGAUAUCACGGCAAAAAUUUCGGCACAUAUCAACGAGAGACCGAUUAAUUAGCAAAUCAUGAGAUUUCUUACUUUUUUAUAGAAUUGUACCUAAAGAAGGACUCCCCUAUUAUAUAAAGGGGGUUUGAUUCUUUGUAAUACACGUUGUAACACGCAUCUCAAAAGUAUUAUAAUAUUAUUUUAUUUCUGCAAGUUAUUGUUCUUCUGUAUUUGACAUCAUUUGGACCAUAUUCAGAUCGGGUGAGAUCUAUUUCUCAGGGCUAUAACUGCUCAAGCCACACGGUUUGAAUUUACUUUAUUAUUGUUUGCUUUAUUUAGAAUUUAAUCUAUCUCUUUGUGUUAAAUUAAUCCACGUAUCCUUAAAACUACUUAUAAAUUCAAUUGUUAUCCAAUUUUAAGGGGAAACAAGUGUUGAAACCAUUGCUGAAAUAAUCAUGUAACUACAAGCAAUUACCUAAUACAGUCAUGUCUUUUGUUUAUAACAGAAAAGUCACUUAGCUAUGCAUGCCUAUAACACUAAGAAGAUCACUAAACUAGAUUUCUCAAACUUUCGAUACCCAAAUGACCAUUUUACCCUCUAAAUUAUCAAUCUUUGUGUUUUUUAUAUACCUUUUUUAAUAUCUAUAUUAUUUUCUCUUUUUAAUCUAUAUAAUGGACUUACGUAUAGAAAAAAAUAAAUCUUAUUUCUAAAUAAAAAAAAGUGAAAAAUAGUUUUCAAGCAUAUAUAAUAUUGGUAUAAUAAAUAAUCGACUUUAAAUUUUGAAUUCAAUUCGAAUACGAUUGCCAAAAAUUUGCAUCCUAGCUAGAAGUCUUACUUGAUCAAGAGGAAUUGACGUGGUCCCUGCCAUAAGAUUGCAGGGCAUAUAUAACAGGCACAAGGAGGAAUUACCUUAUGCUGAGAGGCAACAUAAAAGGAAAAAUCGCAAGUGGGGCAUGCAAACAACUAUUAAUGUACAAAAGGAAGCCCGCAAUGACUGGCAGUUUUAUUUAUUUAUUCUUAGAAAUUAAAAUAUUAGGAACUAAAUUAUAGAGAUUAAUAUUAUUGUUGUUUACCCCUUAAAAUGGAUAAUAAUAAAAUUUGUACACGGUUUAAAAAAUAUGUGAUUUAAUUUAACACAAAUAAUCAAAGAAUAGUAAAUAGUUGAAUCGAGAUAAGAUGGAAUGAUCAAAACCAAGUAACACAAUAAUUAAGCCUUGUGUUUUACUUAAAUUCCAAUGAUCGACAUCGACUGAGCCUUCGAGAUAGAGGUCAAAUCAGAAUAAAUGAGUAAAUAACUGAAGAACACUUAAAAUGAUUGCAGAGAGCUAAAGUAAAUUUUAUUGCCUUGUUAUGCGUCAAAAGAGUGAGUGCGAAAUAAAGGGGUCCUCCUCAUUAUAUAGUAGAGGAGAUUUAACCCUAGUAUAUGUCUAAAUGAAGUAAAAAUAUUUUCCUUCCUUCUAUCCCAAGAAAAUAAGAUCCACAACCCAUACCGAGCGUGAUCUGCGCUGUAAUAUCCGGCAGAUGGCAGAUAUUUCGGGUCUUUGUUUUUCUCCUUCAACUGUCUUUCCUUUACCCUAAAUUCUUCAUCUCACUCGAGCUUGAUUCUCUCCGGGUUCAGCCGUGCUCGAGACCGGUUAUGUCAUUCGUCCAUUCUUGAUUCCGAUCUGUGAGUAUCUUCGGACUUACCCGAGCCAGUAACAAGUAACGUCGUUCCUUGUUUCACAACGAAAAAUCGGGGAUAACUCUAUCCUCGAUUUUACCUGUAUGCAAUUAUUUACCCCUUAAAAUGAAUAACAAUUAAAUUUGUACGUGGUUUAAAGGAUAUGUGGUUUGAUUUAAUUCACAUGAUCAAAGAGCAAUAAAUAGUUGAAUCAAGAUAAGAUAGAAUGAUCAAACAAAAGUGACGCAGUAAUUAAGCCUUGUGUUUAACUUAAAUGUCAACGAUCGGUCUCGACUGAGCUCUCGAGAUAGAGCUCGAAUUCGAGGAAAUGAGUAAAUAACUGAAGAACGCUUAAAAUAAUUGCUGAGAGCUAAAGUAAAUUUUAUUGCCUUGUUAUGCUUGAAAAGAGUGAGUGCAAAAAAUAAAGGGGUGCUCCUCUUUUUAUAAUAGAGGAUAUUUAACCCUAGUAUAUGUCUAAAUGAUGUAAAAACCUUUUCCUUCCUUCUUUCCCACAAAAAUAAGAUACGCAACCAAUAUCGAGCGUGAUUCACGCUGCAAUGUUUGACUGAUGGCGGAUAUUUCGGCUCUUUGUUUGUCUCCUUCAACCACCUUUUUUUACCCUCGAUUCUUCAUCUCACUCAAGCUUGAUUCUCUCCGAGUUCGGCCAUGCUCGAGACCCGUUAUAUCAUUUGUCCGUUAUUGGUUAUGAUCUAUGGAUAUAUUCGGGCUCAGCUGAGCCAAUAACAAGUGACGUUGUUCCUCGUUUCACAACGGAAAAUCGAGGAUAACUCUAUCCUCGAUUUUACCCGUAUACAGAUAAUCUCUUCACUUCUCAGAGAGUAGAUUAUAGGAGCCAUGAGAAGUGACCAAUUGACCCCAGUUCAUUCCCUCGUAAGUCAUGCACAAGCUGACGAGCCAAAACGUCCUAUCGGUCACAUUGUUCUGAUAUUGGACAUUCGUCAGUCGUCGGUUGAACACCUUUGGCGGUUACCGAAUUCAAAAUGUCUAGCAAUCAUUACUCAUUCCCUAUAAAAGAUCCGAUUUCUCACUUUUGCUUUUUUACUUUUUGACUUCAAAUUUCCUUAAGUUGCCUUCGAGCUUUUCAUAUCUUCAUCCGUUUGUCGAUCCUUUGUACCCAUCUCCUCAAACCUUUAUAAGUUGUUUUUCAUACCUUCAUAUCUUCAUAUUUCAUUUUCGAAUCUUCAUACCUUAUAUUCAAAUCUUCAUACCAAAUCCCUAGAUCUACAUAUUCGCAGAUAGGGAUGACGCAGACCUCAAAAUCAGUACCUCAAAAUACUGCACCGAUGACCUUUUCCUCGGCCACCGGCACCGAGGAAAUGCCUCCAGUAGUAGCCUCAGGACCUACUCUUACAAGUUUUAUUCCCGGUAGUUGCUCCAUUGAUAAUGACUUCAAAGUCGAGAAAGCCUCUGCACAAGGAGAUCGAGGUGAGGGGGUAUGUUUGCUCCAUUACCAAGAAGACACUCAAGACUGUCCAAGAUGACUGCAAAUGGGAAGACAAGUACGUAGUCGUUACCAGUCCUAACAAGGACAUAAAAACACAUGUGGAGAGGUGUUUAAGUGUUUACACAUACCCUUUUACAUUUGGUCCUAUUGACACGGUAGUCCUCAAGUUUUACAAGAGAUAUGACAUUUUCCUUGGGCAAGUUCACCCAUCCUUUUUGAGGAUCAUGACUCUUCUCCGCCACUUUGCAAACAAUAUGAAGGAUCCAUAGUUCACGGUUGAUCACUUUCUUCGAGCGUUCAACCCCCGGGCCUGCUGCGACGUGUUUCCCGACCCAUAUAAUAAUACGUACGUCUAACGUACUAUAUAUAUAUAUAUAUAUAUAUAUAUAUAUAUAUAUAUAUAUAUAUAUAGCCAAUGUAGCCUGUUGCGGCGCGCAACCCGUUCCCAUAAAUAAUGAUAUAUAUAAAACCAAUAUGUCAUUCUAUGGCGUGCAACCCGAUCCCAUCAAUCUCACUCAUAAUCUGGCCUCAGGCCCCAACUCAGUCAUCAAUCUCUCCAGUCUCUCGGGCUCACAACUUCAUGCCAAUCAACCUAAACAAUGGUAAUAUGAUGUGACAACAAAUGAUAAUAGAGACUGAGAUAUGAUAUACAAAUGAAUGAAUAUGACUGAGUAUAUGAUUGCAAUUUAAGCAAACAACCCAACAAUAGAAAUGACCUCAGUGGGUACCAAUAGAAUAAGCACAUAGCCUAACAUGGUUUCCAACAUGGAUCACAACUCAAUUACUCUAGUACAUAAAAAUUCAAGGAUAAAAACAAGAUAGAUAACUACACGGUACCAUAGAAUCUUCCAAGUCAUAAUUCACAUGGUGCACGCCCACACGCCCGUCACCUAGCAUGUGCGUCACCUCAACACCAAACACAUAACACAUAUAUUUAGGAGUUUACACCCUCAGUACCAAGUUUUGAAGUGGUACUUACUUCAAACAAGCUGAACUCAAUACUGAGCAAGCCAAACAAUACUCUAGAAAUACCAUCCUGCAUGUAUCAACCUCCGAACGGCCUGAAACUUGCCAAAAGAAACUCAAAUACAUCAAAUAAUACCUAAGUAAACAAACCCAGUCGAUAAAGGUCAAAUCUUUAAUCAAAAGCCCCAAAGUCGACCAAAAGGUCAAACCCAAGCCGCACCUCUGAACCUGACAAAACUCAUAAAAUCCGACAACCCAUUCAAUUAAGAGUCUAACCAUACUAGUUUCACUCAAAUCUGACUCCGAAUCGAUGUUUAAAACUCAAAAAUUCACUUUAUGAAAUUUUAGGCAAAACCCUCUAAUUUCUCUCCUGAAAUCAUCAAUCAAAUGCAAAAAACGAGAAUUAGAUUCAUGAAAUAUAAUCAAAACUAAGUAGAGAACACUUAGCCCAAUCCAUAUCCGAGCUCCAUAGCUCCAAAUAUGCAAAAAUGACCAAAACCUCCGAAAUAGAGUACUUUGCAUUCACUACCCAGGGAUACUCAUUGUGAUCGCAGAACAACCUUCACGAUCGCAGAGAAUAAGUGCCACUGGCAACCAAAGCUCUACGCAUUCACAACACUAACAAUUCGAACGCAAAGCACACAUGCGCCCAAACAUCGCGAACAUGUCCCAUCUUAUGCGAAUGCAUUAAAGAAUUUCCAGCUCCCAGUUUCCCACCUUAGCUCUAUGCGAACAUGGCCUCUCCUAUGCGAACACAUACUGUAACCAACACCAAGCUACGCGAAUGCGGUCUUCCAAUCACGACCGCAAUUAAGAAAUUACCCAGCUCCAAAAAAUUUCCUCUAUGUGAUUGCACCUUAUACUUCGCGAUCGCGAAGCACAUUUGGUGCACCAGACAACAACAGAAGCCAACAAUGCAAUUAUGAAGAAAAACGGUCCGAAAUCAAUCCGAAUCAUGCCUGAUCUCCUCGGGACCCCGUCCGAACAUUCCAACAAGUUCCAUAACAUAACACGAACCUACUCGAGGCCUCAAAUCAUGCAUAACAACAUCAAAAUCAUGAAUCGCGCCUCAAUUCAAACUUAAUGAGCUUUUGAACUUUCUACUUCCAAAGCUCGUGUCGAACCUUAUCAAAUCAACUCGGAAUGAACUCAAAUUUUGUGCACAAGUUCCAAAUGACAUAACGAAGCUAUUAAUUCCGGGAACCAUAAUCCGAAUCCGAUAUCAUCAAAGUCAACUUUCGUUCAAGCCUAUGAAUAUUCCAAACUUUCAAAUUUUUCACUUUCGCCAAUUAGUGUCGAAACCUUCUAGAGAUAUCCAAUACAAAUCCAGACACACACCCAAGUCCAAAAUCACUAUCCGAACCUAACAGAAUCAUCAAAACUUCGAUCCGAGGUCAAAUACUAAAAAGUCAAACUUGGUCCACUCUUCCAACUUAGAGCUUCAAUCAUGAAACUCAUUCUUCUAAAGUAAUUCCGAAACACCUAAAAACCAAAACCGAUCACACAAGUCAUAAUACAUCAUUUGAAGCUACUCAACACUUGAAAUGGCUGAAUGGAAUGUAAAUGCUCAAAACGACCGGUCGGAUCGUUACAGAGUUUUUAAUGUGGUCCCACAUUGGAAGGAGUGGAUCGAGGGUAUAUGCAAGCAGCUCACCUACUCUGAACGUGAGUGGCGUAAGCUCUCCACAGGCAAGUGGGAGGCUCAUUCCCAUGGUGAGUGGUUUUUACUGGUAGAUCUCUUCCUUGUCGCUCUUUAUUUCGGCAAUGGCGCAACCUUUAUUCCUUCUUUCACAGGCUUGACAAAGACCACCAAGCUUUGGGAAGUCACUUAUACCGUGGUAUCGACCUCGUCUUCCAAACUAUCUACCUCUCUACAGCCCGUUGCAAAAUUUGUUGCAGAGGAGGACGAGAAAACAAAGAAGAAAAAGAGAUUCCCCGCUCCUCGGAUGCUCCUGCUGUGGUCAAGAAAAGAAGAAGGAUCGUGCUCAGGGUCCAGAAGAGUACAAUAAAAGGACUCGGAUGCCUAGGCCCCGGGCUUUGAAGCUUUUCGUCAGCUCAAGGAUUUUCUCAAGGAUGACAAAGAUAUGGAGAACACUAACCAAGAGCCAAAAGACUUGGAAAAAAUGGAUCGAGGUUCAAUGGAUUUGGAAAACACAAACCAAGAGCUGAAAAGCUCGGACAACACCAAUCAAGAGUUCCACUAAGGAGGAUGCUCGUGAAGCCAAAUCCUUUAACUUAGGGGAUCCGAAGAAGAAUAUGCGGUUGCUGCUUUGGAAGAAGCCCUUCUGGUCCCAAUAAGGAUCGUUUCUAAAGGCAACAUUGUUAUCCGUAUCCACGAGUCACCGCUCCAGACUGAGGCCACUUUAAAUGAGGGUCGAUCCACUGAAGAAAAGUCGACCGAAACAUCCCGAGUUGUGGAUGAUGCCAUUAACUCAUUUUUGAAGGGUGUGGACAUCGGUGCAUUGGAAGAAUACUCGGGAUUUUUCCACUUGGAGAUCUCAAAAAAGGUUGUUCAACCAGAAUUAGGUGGGUCGAGUGUGAGCUCAAAGCUUGAGAAGCGAUUUUCCGCUCUGAGUGCGGACGUAUAGCGAAAGAGGACGCUCAUGUUCUUGGUGCCGAUGAAGACUAACAUGUUGUUCGGGCCAGUCAGAGUGGCCAGCUAUCUCCAUACCUUGGUAAUCUAGGAGGAGAAAAUGAGGAUGAACGAGGUAGGAGGGCCAAGCCUUUUCAAUGAGGCUUAGCAGACACUAAAUCGGGUAUGUCUUCUUUCCUUUUUAUUCUAACGAGUUCUCGUUUCUCUAACUGUCUUUAACAGUCGUUUUUCUCCGUAUCUCAAGCCUUGGUGCUACACCAGGGGAGCUUCCACCGAUCCAGGAUGGAGGUGAGUCAUCUCGAAUUUGAGUUGAAGGAACAAGUCCAGCACAUAGAGAUGUACAAAGCUCUCUGUGAGCAAAAGGAUGAAGUCCUUAGGAACACGACCGCCCUCUUCACUCUUCAGGCUAAACUGGAGAAGGCCUAGAAAGAGGCCUCGAAAGCAAAAUAUGACUAUACUCUUCUGUUGCAUCCUAUUUUGCACUAGUCAAAAUAAGAUUCAACUUGCGGUUUCUAUGUUGUUGAUGAAAGAGAGUCGCCACCUAAUAUUUAAAGGUAUACUAGGGUUGCGAUUUAAUUACUAUAGGUUAUAUUCUUCAUUAGUCUUCUAAUUGGUAAUAUUAUGGGUAAGGGUUCUUGCUCUUCUAAGGGAAAGGUGUUAGACACCCCUUAAAAGCUACCUGAGAUAGCUCUAUAGGACUUAGACUAGAUUUAGGACCAAUUGUUUGUACUAUGCUUUAACUAAUAUUUAAAAGAGUGUAACAUACCAUAUAUUAUGGCAUAAUACCUAUAAGGAAGAGUUUAGUUUAAAUAGGUGUGGGUUAAUAGAAGAGUUUUAGAAAAUAAGGUUAGUACAUAUAUGCUUGAAAAGAGCUUUUGAAAGAUGUAUGAUGUUUGUAAAAAACAAUGUGUAAAAGAGAAGCUAAGUUAAAAUACUUUGUUUCCUAAAGCAUAGAAGUUCAUAUUAUUCUAAUGAGGUAAAGGUGUUAUGAAAAUAAGCCUAAGAUAUACCUUGUUCUUAAAUAUUAGACUUGAGCAGAUUGUUUGAAAACCUUUGUUUGGACGGCAACACCUUGUUCUUUUAGAAAAGAGUUGAUUUCCUUUUAGAAAAUUAAACGCGUGACUCAGUUCUGUUUUUUUUUUCAAUGGGGGACUUAGGCCUUUGGGCUUCAAAAAUCAUAAGAAAGAGUUAGCAAGGCAUAAUAAAUUAAUAACUACUCAUGAUUAGCGGAUGUGAAAUUGAUUGCUAACUAAGGUUUCUUUAAAUCUUGCCUAAGUCACUUUUAUAUGAAUUAAAAGAUAAAAUAAAGCAUUCAAUCAAAUAUAUACUUACCAUAUACGUGCGAGAUAAAACGACAGAAAGACAGUAAAGAUCGACAUAGUGAAACUAUAGAAUAAUGAAAAGAAAAAAAAAUAAAGAAGCGAAGAGAAAGAAAACACUUUGGUGUUUGGGCCUCAAAAAGGCAGGCCCAACAGUAACAGGGUCAACAACUGACUCUGGACUCCCAGGAUAUAGCAACGCUGGUUUUGGGCCUGAGUUUUUUAAGAACUCAGCAGGCCCAAGCCACUAUACAUGUUCAAAAAAAAAAGUCAUUAGAAAAACAAUACUAUAUACAUGCCUAUAUAUAUGAAAUUUAAAAGCAAAAAAUAAAGGAAAAUCACUGAAAGUAUUUAAACACUAAGAAAGUUACACUAAUAUGGAGGUUAUGUAUAGUAAAUGAUCCACAUUGAACACCUUUCGUUGUUAUUAGGCAUCAAACCCAAAGAGAAAAAUAAGUGUCAGUGAAUCAAUGACUAAGGAGAGAAAUCUACUCAAGGUCGAUGCUCCCUUUGAAUCUCCUAACACAACAAAGUUCCCAAGGGUCUCAAGGCCCAGGGCAAUGCUUGUGUCAGGGAGAGCAGCCCAACCUAAAUUUAAACUCUAUUCCCAAAUACCCCCUAACUACUAACUACUCAUUUUACAUUGCAUGUUUAAGUGCCAAUGAAGCUCUUUCAAUGUGAGCCAACCACCAUAACAUAUCCUACCACAAAAUAAUUCCCUUUUCUUAACAAAAUAACACAGAAACACAUAGAAAAAAUAUAUUCUUCAUGACUAUGUUUCUAGAAUUAAGUGAAUCCAACACAUAUUGAACAGUUUUAAAAUUCAAGUUUCUAAGCACACAUGGAGACAUGAACACUUAUACUAUUGUUGCUAAAGAACCAAACAACUAGAGACAGAUAAAGCACAUAGCUUAGAGCUGCAACAGCUUAGGGAUACCGAUGCUAUUGAUCACAAAUUAGUUUAACAUCAGAUAUUUUUAUUAGCACACACAUAGGUUAAAAAUACUACUUAGAACCUUGUGAAAACAUCAGUAGAGGUUUAGACGAUUACACAGGAAGGUUAUUAUACUAAAUCAGUAACAACAAGAGGUUUCUCCAAGACCAGAUUCAAUCCAAAUUAACAAAGAAAGAGAGAACUAGGUGCAGUUUUAAAAACAGUGUUCAAAAGUAUGAAGUCAUGAAGGAUAAACAAAGAUUCAUGACAAACUUCCACACAUACAGAGAUUUCAACCAAUGUUAUGACCUCAUAAUAUAGGAUGAGUCUUAACCAUUACAAAAUCAGAUUAUCUGUAUAUAGGAAACAUCAUAGUAAACAUGCUUAACUCAUCUGUUCAGACUAAGGUUAAUAUCCAGACAUGGUGGUGUUGUAUUUCAGGUUACAGAAAUAGAUAGUAUUCAACUACAGCAGAUGCAACUACAAUCUAGUUCAUAAGAGGUAUGUUGAUCAUAACAAAAUAUAUGCAGAAUGAUCACUGAUGUUUACAAAAGUUCCCUAAUAAGACUGUUUCAUACUAAGAGAUACAACAUAAAGUUAGACAUGGAUAUGAAGCUUUCAUAAUGACAAUUUAAAGAAUGCUCAAAAAUUAGCAAGCACUUAUACAAAGAAGGAGAACAUUUAAACACUUAAACUUCAUGUAUUUUAGGUAAAUGAUGAAGAGUUAAACUGUGAUGGUCUAAUUCGCAUCAACAUUUAAGUGAGCAGAUUGAGAGUUCACAUAUUUAAUAGCUCUGAAAUCAAACUUCAAAGAACACGUGUAAAAUAGUGUGUUUUAUCAAGAUUAGCAUUAAAUCACCACUAUUAUCUUUAGCUCCACAGUGAGCGCCAAACUGUUUGCCCCUUAAAAUGGAUAAUAAUUAAAUUUUUACGCGAUUUAAAGAAUAUGUGAUUUAAUUUAACACAAAUAAUCAAAAAACAGUAAAUAGUUGAAUCGAGAUAAGAUAGAAUUAGCAAACCAAAGUGACACAGUAAUUAAGCCUUGUGUUUAACUUAAAUGCUAACGAUAGGUCUCGACUGAGCCAUCGAGAUAGAGCUUAGGUCCUUCUAAAUGAGUAAAUUACUAAGAACGCUACAAACGAUUGAUGAGAGCUAAAGUAAAUUUUAUUGCCUUGUUAUGUGUCAAAAGAGUGAGUGAGAAAAAUAAAGAGGUCCUCCUCUUUAUAUAGUAGAGGAGAUUUAACCCUAGUAUAUGUCUAAAUGAAGUAAAAAUCUUUUCCUUCCUUCUUCAUCACGAAAAUAAGAUCUGCAGCCAAUACCAACUGUGAUCCGCACCGCAAUAUCCAACUGAUGGCGGAUAUUUCUGCUCCUUGUUUGUAUCCUUCAACCACCUUUUAUUUACCCACGAUUCUGUAUCUCACUCGAGCUAGAUUCUCUCCAGGUUCGGCUGUGCUCAGGACCUGUUAUAUCAUUCAUCCAUUCUUGAUUCCGAUCUGUGGGUAUCUUCGGACUUACCCGAGCCAGUAACAAGUAACGUCGUUCCUUGUUUCACAACGAAAAAUCGAGGAUAACUCUAUCCUCGAUUUCACAUGUAUACAAUUAUAUAGUGAAGCAACCAAUAAUCUAGUAACACAUCUUGAAAUAGUGGGAGCAAAUAAAAAGGGGACACAAUUAGGGUGUGUUUGGUAUGAAGGAAAAUAAUUUUCAAAAAGUAUUUUUAGUUUUCCAUGUUUGGUUGUCUUAAAUAUUUUGAAAAAUAUUUUCCUCACGAACUCAUUUUCCUCCAAUUAUUGGAAGAAAAUAUUUUUCCUAUCAAGAGAAGGGAAAAUAUUUUUCAAAACUCUUAUUCAACCUUCCCCACUCUAUUCCCCAUUCCCAUCACACCCUGCCCCACCCCUCAUCCCCACCCCAACUCCUAAAUAGAAAUAUUAUUAAUAGUACUUUCUUUUCAGGUUAUAGAAAGGGUUCUUUUAAUUUUAUUUCACCAAUUGAGAAUUUUCUUUUCAUAAUAUAUAUAAAAAUAUUUUUCUUCAUUUUAACACAAAAAUACUUUUUUCCAUGAUGUAGAAUAAAGUAUUUUCUUUUAUUUUAACAAAAUGAUGUAGUAAAAAGUAUUUUCUUUCAUUUCAACAAAAUGAUGUAAUAAAAGAUAUUUUCAAAAGAGUAUAUUUUUUCAUGAUGUAGAAAAAAAUAUUUUCUUUCAUUUCAACAAAAUGAAUACUUUAUUUUUAUGUUGUAGAGAGAGUACUUUUUUCGGCCAAAUUUUUUUUAGUUAUGGAGAAAAAAUUUCAACAUUGCUUAAAACAAAAAAUAAAGCAGAAAAUUAAUUCUUUUGGUUCGUGUGAAUUUUUAGAAGAAUAAUUAAAUCUUUGAAGAAAAUAGAAUUAUAAAAACAUUGGGUAUUUGGAGGGAGGAUGGAUGGGGGAGAGGGCAAAAAACAUGGGGACUUGGGGGGGGGGGGGUGAGGAGAGUAGCUUACAAAUAUUUUUCUUAAAAAUAUUUUCUUCUCUCUAACCAAACACUAGAAAAUAUUUUCUGGAAAAAAGUUUUUCACUCAAUAAUCAAACAAGGAAAAAUAAGUAACAAAACGAGUAAUUUUCCGUGAAACAUUUUCUGGGCAACAUUUUCCAUGAAAAUAUUUAUCUUCUUAUCAAACACACCCUUAAUUAAACCAAGUAAAAUAAGGUUCAAACGCAUUCCAAUUUCCAUAUAGAAAAAGGUUAGAAUAGAAAGAAAAAGAUGGGUAACUGGCUACGAGCAAUUGCUAAAGGAAUGCAUGUACAAGCUUUUGCAUCCUUCUCUAUCACAGUGGAAGGGGACACAUCUUGCUAUGUUUCGUAGAAGAAUUAAAAGCUGACUACAGAGAAAAUAGGGGCCAAUGAAACAUUAUCUUCAACACCUUUUUUCUUAGUUCUUGCUUGACUCAAAAGAAAUUAAAUUCUUUUUAGACAAAUCAAUCAAAGAUGAAGGGGUAAAUCGUAGCUGAAGAUAAUAAACUCUAGGAUGAUAAUAAUAGAGAGAAGAGAGUUGUCAAUUUUCUUUUUAUUCAAAGCUAGUAAAUCUUGUCAAGUGCCCCCUCUUAAAAGGCUUUCAACCCUCUUAUAUACUGAGGAAUUUCUUCCAAACGCGGGAACGACAAGUGAAGAAUUAUCUAAGGAAUAUUCUCUAGGUCUCCUAAUGGGCUGAUUCUACUGCCGAGGUCGUAUCUCUCUAGGCGUCGACUCAUAGGUACUCGGUCGUUUGUCAUGGUCAUUGUAGGUCGUGGUCGUUCAAAUUCGGACCCAUAUAGUUAGUCCCUCCGCUCGUCGAGGACGCGACCGGGUGCGUCUUCGAUGAGCGGACUUUAUGCCUUUCUUGGGAGGAAUUUGACCCGUUGGGACAUUAUGACGCGGCCAAUCGAGAGGUGGGUAUCAUGUUCAGCGGAGCAUCGAAGAGUACAUGACACCCGGGGGUGACGUCAGCUUUACGUGAAUCAUCAUUACGCGGAUUUUCGAGGCAAGGACUGAUAGUUUGGCACUUUGAUUCUUGCGCUAAUUUGAAGCCUGCCGCCUUGAUUCUGGCACCAUACAACCCUAUAAAUAGAUGAAAGGUUUGAUUUUUUGAAAAUUUUUAGCCACUCCCUCUUGAUAACCUCUAAGUCUUCUUCAUUUUCUCUUAUACCUUCUUGUUCCCGUUUUCAUUCCUUGCCGGAAGUUUCUUCUUUUUCACUCCCUUUGAGUAGCUACUCCUUUACACGAAACUAUGCCAAGGUCUCGUUGUGCUAAUGAAGAGGUUCCUAAAGCCGCCUUGUCAACCACAGCGCCUCUUUCCGGCAGCGAAGAGGUAGAGGUAGAAGAGGGUUAUAGCCCUCUUAUGGUGGAGGCGCUACUAUCGAGGCAUCCCCUAUCCCGGAGUGAUUUCCUCAAAGAUCCGUCCCUUACUCCGAACCUCAUACUUUCCGAGAUAAAGCAGGUUCACCUUGAUGCCCUCCACAUAAAGUAUGGUAUUCCUGCCCAUGUAGAGAUUAUUCGGGCGGGGGAAGAUUAUGUUGACGUUUACAAGCCUGGGUACUGUGCUUUCUACGAGUAUCCUUUUGUGAUCGGUUACACCCUUCCUCUCUUCCCUCUAGCAGAAGAAUUCUACAGAUUUUACCAAGUUUGCCCGGCUCAACUUUCACCUUACACGCUUAAGGUGCUUCUGCUAUUGACUAAGUAUGCAGAGUUGGCAGAAUAUAGUGUCUCCAUCCAUCAUCUUUUGCACUUAUUCACGCUUGGCUUCCUCAGGGGCACCAUGGUGCACUUGAGACUUCGUGGUACAAAAGGGCUGGUGGUCGGGACGGAUGACCGGCAAGCCAUAAGUUAUGGCACAAGUACUUCUUUAUCAAGACCGAACACGUCGUUUCUGACCCUGCCGGAUUUUUGGAGCGAUGGAACAGAACUCGCAAGUACCGCCGUCUAUUACAUCCCCCUGUUUUCUGUAAUUAUUGUAACUUUUGCUCACUAGUCAUGUCACAGCUAUGGGCUGCCCGCCUCGCCCCAUUGUGGGUCUCAAGAACUGGGUAGCUCGCAUGUUGCCUCAUGCGGAGGAAACUCGGAACUGGUCUGCCUUCGUGCAAUGUUAUGGACCUAGGGUUUCCUCAGGCAAGAAUCUGCUCUACUGCCUCAUUGGCCAUGCAACCCUGCUUGACCGUAUGACCCUUUGUGAUGGCAGGUCGAGGAGCUUCUAGAUGGAGGGCGCUAGUUCCCGCUUUUAGAUUAUUCGUUGCUACUGUAGACACGCGAUUUAUUUUGUGCGAGUCUGUUCAGGAAGGCCGUCCUCAACUUACUCAACCGGGAGAUUCGUUUCGAACUGUGGCCACGAGGGAAAGAAGCCUCGUUGGUACCGGCCUCACAUCCCGUUGACGAAUCUUCUAAUGGUGACGAGCCGUUAGAGAGGAAAAGGAGAAGGUUGGAGCUAGGAAAGGGCAUGGCUACGGAUGUCGACGGCAGUGGAGCCUCCCAAACAGCCCCGGUGCCCGUAUUUAUGGCUGAUGCCAUUUUGUCGGACAGGUCUCCCCGAUUGGAGGGGACUGGCCCGGGGUCGGGUUCAGUGCACUCCGUUGAAGGUGGCGCAUCAUCUAAUGUUGGAGGUCCUCGUAUUGAGGGUGACAGCUUGGGUUCGGAUAUCGACCCAGAGGAUAUCAGAGAAUUUUUGGGUCACCACACCCAUGUGGAGGUUAGGAUAGAUGGAUCUGACCGUCAUGUGGUAGUCUUGGGGAGCUACAACUUGCUGCUGAAUAGUGAGCAGGUUGCUUCGGCCCUUUCUCUUCUAUGUGUCGCUCUUGAAAGUGAAAUGCUUGGAGCGAUGAGCGAUGCGGAGUUAUCUCAGAAGGUCACUGGUAUGGCCCUGAAGGUAGGUUCCCUUUUCUUCUCUUUUUGUCAUGAGGUCAUUGUGUCAGUCGGCAUUGUGUAUUUUAUUUUUUUAACUCUACCCUUCUCUUUUGUUAGACCCUCGUCCUGGAGGUGUAGAGGGAGCAUUGUGAGGACGGGCCUCUAUAAGAAGAUGUCGUCAAAGUAUCAUCAGUAUCGUGCUAAACAUCAGGCGAUGUCUGACAUCUAUCAUUAAGAUCUCGAGUUCCAGAUGUUUCGCGAGGGGCUUAAGCAAUGGGAGGACCAAUUGGAGCGUAGGAUAAAGGAGCUGAAGGAGAGGGACGAGGAUCUUGUGAGGGCUAUCGCCCGUAGUAGCGAACUGGAGGCCUUCCUUAAGGUGAAAGAGGACGAGCUCGGGUUGAGCAGGGGAGUAACGGCUGAGAAUGCCAACUUACAGUUGAAGGUGGCCGACAUGACCGCCGAGUUGAAUGCUAAGGCAGCGGAGGUCGACGGGCUCAAGGGCGAGCUGAAUGCCAGCGCUGAUAAGUUGGUAGCCACUAUUUCUGAGCCGGUAUUUUGGAGGAUGCUCUCCGCAUUUCCAGGUCGGAACUUACUGGGGAAGGGGAUGCCUCCGGUCGUUGAAUCACAUGGCUCGAAGGGCGUGUUAAGGAGUUAAAGGCAGAGUUAGCCGUAUUGCGGGGGCAAAUGGCUUAGCUGAGGGCGGAGGAGGCAAAUCGACGUUCUCAACCUUUUAUGUCUCAUGCCUCAUCCAAUCAGGGCUCGCCUCAUCACUUGUAUGAGUUGUGGGUCCAUGCAGAGGCUCGACUCAAUGUAUAUAAGGCUUUUCAUGCCGAGGGCAGGGCAACAGAGGCGGAGGUUCAGGAGGUGCACGCUGACGUGCGUGUAGCUCAUGAGUCAUGUAGAUACGACCCCCUCACUCCUAACGCGGAAGAUAUCAAUUCUCAUGACGCGAAUCACCUUGCUUUGGAUUCGUGGUAUGAAGACACUUACCCCGCUGGGAAUGAUGUGUAGUCUUGGUUUGUAUUUUACUUUUGCUUAGGAAUUUUUUGGCAUGGUCUGUACUAUGGCCUGUUUGUAAGGGCAAAUGUAAAUGAUAUUUUGCUGUAAUGUAAAUUUUACUUUCGCCGGUUUGUUCGUUUGUCGUUUUUUCUUUUACUUAUUGCAUAUGAUACUGACGCCCUUGGAUGUUGGGAUGUUUCUUUGAACUGCCGUCGAAGUAGGAUUCCGUCGUGGUUCGAACGAGGUCGAACUUAAACUUUUGUCGAUGGCCUUGGCCAUUGGGAUGUUGCUUCGAACUAUCGUCAAAGUAGGAUCCCAUCGUGGUUCAAACGAGGUCGAACUUAAACUUUUGUCGAUGGCCUUGGCCAUUGGGAUGUUGCUUCGAACUGUCGUUGAAGUAGGAUCCCAUCGUGGUUCGAAUGAGGUCGAACUUAAACUUUUGUCUAUGGCCUUGGCCAUUGGAUGUUGUUUCGAACUGUCGUCGAAGUAGGAUCCUAUCAUGGUUUGAAUGAGGUCAAACUUAAACUUUUGUCGAUGGCCUUGGCCAUUGGGAUGUUACUUCGAAUUGUCGUUGAAGUAGGAUCCCGUCGUGGUUCGAACCAGGUCGAACUUAAACUUUUAGCGAUGGCCUUGGCCAUUGGGAUGUUGCUUCGAACUGUCAUCGAAGUAGGAUCCCAUUGUGGUUCGAACGAGGUCAAACUUAAACUUUUAGCGAUGGCCUUGGACAUUGGGAUGUUGCUUCAAACUGUCGUUGAAGUAGGAUCCCGUCAUGGUUCUAACGAGAUCGAACUUAAACUUUUGUCAAUGGCCUUGGCCAUUGGGAUGUUGCUUCGAACUGUCGUCGAAGUAUGAUCCCGUCGUGGUUCAAAUGAGGCUUAAACUUUUGGCGAUGGCCUUGGCCAUUGGGAUGUUGCUUUGAACUGUCGUCGAAGUAGGAUCCCAUUGUGGUUCGAAUGAGGUCGAACUUAAACUUUUGGCAAUGGCCUUGGCCAUUGGGAUGUUGCUUCGAACUGUCGUCGAAGUAGGAUCCCGUCAUGGUUCAAAUAAGGUCAAACUUAAACUUUUGGUGAUGGCCUUGGCCAUUGGGAUGUUGCUUCGAACUGUCGUCGAAGUAGGAUCUCGUCGUGGUUCGAACGAGGUCGAACUUAAACUUUUGGCAAUGGCCUUGGCCAUUGGGUUGUUGCUUCUAACUGUCGUCGAAGUAGGAUCCCGUCGUGGUUCGAACGAGAUCAAACUUAAACUUUUGGCGAUGGCCUUGGCCAUUGGGAUGUUGCUUCGAACUGUCGUCAAAGUAGGAUCCCGUCAUGGUUCGAAUGAGGACGAAUUUAAACUUUUGGAGACGGUUGUAUUCCCAUAUGAAGAUAUCACAUGUCGACGAUGUCAAACUUUGAUUUGUGUCGAUGAUUGCAUUCCCAUAGGAAGAUUGUAUGUCGAUUAGUAGAGAUUUGAUUCCAUACAAUGGAGAUACGAUUCCAUACAUAUAAUGGAGAUACAAUUCCGCUCAUAUAAUAGAGAUACGAUUCCGUACAUAUAAUGGAGAUUUUGAUUAUCUAUAUGUAGUCCCUUCAUUGCUUUGUUCCGGAGAUCAUAUCGCCGGGUCGAGGUAAUGAACAACACGUCGAUCCAUAAAGCAUCCCCCUCGCCGCCUCAUUAAAAACCUCCCUAGGAAAACUCGAUUGGGACAAAACUCGGGUAAGUAAAAAAGAGUACGGCUUAGGUGACGCCUUCUCUUAGAAGUGUAAGUACUUGAGGUGGGCGAUGUUCCAGUUGUUUUGGAGUAGUUUUCCCUCCAUUGUUUCUAGCUGGAAUGCUUCUUUGUUUGCUACUGUUACUAUCUUAUAUGGUCCGUCCCAGUUUGUUCCCAAUUUAACUUCAUUAGGGUCCUUCGAUGCUUGUGUUUUGGCCUUGAGGACGUAGUCGCCAAUUUUGAGUGGUCACACCUUGGCUUUCUUGUUGUAGUAUCUCUCUACUUGUUGCUUCUGGGCUACCAUUCUUACGUGGGACAUGUCUCUUCAUUCUUCAAUUUCAUCCAGAUCUUGUAGCCUACUUUCCUCGUUGUUUGUUCCGCUCUCGUUAGAGUAUCUCAAUCUAGGCUCCCCGACCUUGACAGGUAUAACUGCGUCGGUUCCAUAGACCAGUGAGUAUGGCAUUUCUCCUGUGCUGGAUUUUUGGCGUAGUCCGGUAUGCCCAUAAUACUUCAGGUAGUAGUUCGGGCCAUAGCCUUUUGGCCUCCUCAAUCUUCUUUUUCAAUAUGUUCAGUAUUACUUUAUUGGAGAAUUCGGCUUGGCCAUUGGCGGCAUGGUGGUAUGGCGUGGAGAGUAUUCGUUUGAUGUGCCAUUUUUUGAAAAACUCAGUUGUUCUUUUUCCAGUGAAUUGAGGUCCGUUGUCACAGCUGAUUUCCUUGAGGAUGCCAAAAUGGCAUAUAAUAUUUUUCUAUAUGAAGGCGAUGACCUCCUGCUCACGUAUCUGAGUGUAUGCACCUGCUUCCACCCAUUUAGAGAAAUAGUCAGUUAAAACCAAAAGGAAGCGUACCUUACCUCAUCCUGCUGGGAGGGGGCCGACAAUGUCCAUUCCCCAUUUUAUGAAUGGCCAUGGCGAAGUGAUGGAAUGGAGGAGUUCUCCCGCUUGAUUUAUCAUGGGAGCAUAAUUUUGACAUUUCUCGCACCUUCGAACAUAGUCUACGACUUCUUUUUUCAUGAUAGGCCAGUAGUAACUGGCACGGAUGAGGCAUCGAAUGAGGGCGCGGUUUCCCGUGUGGGCUCUGCAAUGCCCUUUGUGUACUUCUUCUGGUACUCGCCUUGUUUGAUGUGGUCCAAGACAUUUAUCUAGGGGACCGCCAAAUGUUCUUUUGUAGAGAUCAUUGUUUAUUAGGCUGUAUCAGGCCACCUGUACCCAGAGUUUUUUGGCUUCCUUUUUGUCUUAUGGAAGCGCUCUAUCUUGCAAAUAGGCUACGAAGUGGUUAUGCUAGUCCCAUGUUAAGUUUAUAGAAUGUACCUCGACAUGGUCAAUUGCGGAAUGAAGGAGUGUGACCACGUUUUCUUUGUUGAUAUUCUUGGUGGCUGCAGCCAGUUUAGCAAGGCCAUCUUCUUCGAUGUUUUGCGCCAUGAGUAUUUGGUCGAGGCGGCACUCAUCGCACUCUGGCAGUAGUUUAUGGAUUUCCGAUUGUAUUAUAGCCUCUGCUCUUUGAUUUGGAAAGUCCCGGUGACCUGGUUCACCACGAGUUGGGAGUCACAGUGGAGGACGAGUCGUCGAGCGCCAUACUUGAGGUAUAACUUCAAACCUGCAAUCACAGCUUCAUACUCGGCCUCGUUGUUAGUCAUCUUGGGGAAUUGUUUGUACUGGCGAAUCAUUUCGCCCAUAGGGACCUCGAGGACGAGUCCCAGUCCCAAUGCAUUGGAAGUGCCAUUGGUAUAGAGGACCCAUAGGUCUAUAUGUGUGGAGGUACGAAGUGCUUCUUGUUCUGCCUCGGGCAAUAUCUCUAUGCUGAAAUCAGCGACAAAGUCUGCGAGCACCUGCGACUUAAUGGCAGUUCGCGGUUGGUAUGUUAUGUCAUGCUCACUUAAUUCUAUGGCCCAUUUGGCGAGUCUACCCAACAGUUCGGGUUUGUACAGGAUACCUCUUAGGGGGAAGGUCAUUACUACUUUUAUGGGGUGACAUUGAAAAUAUGGUCUAAGCUUUCGUGAAGCUACGACCAGUGCCAGAGCUAGCUUUUCAAGCUGAGGGUACCUUAUCUCGGCAUCUAUUAAAAUUUUGCUGAUAUAAUAAAUCGGAGAUUGCGUACCUUUAUUUUCACGGACCAAGACUGCACUUACCGCAACUUCGGAAACUACCAAGUACACAAUCAGACACUCGCCUGGAUCCGGUUUGACGAGUAGUGGCGGCGAAGACAGAUACGCCUUCAGUUUUCUCAAGGCGUUGACACAUUCCUCGUUCCAUUGCAGUCCGUGGUCGUUUCUCAGCACAUUGAAGAAUUUGUGGUCAUCUAUCUAAGGAUCAUGAAAUGAACCUUGCUAAGGCAGCUAUUUUCCCCGUUAGUUUCUGCACCUGCUUUUUGCUGGUCAAUACCUCUGGUAUCGCGUUGAUGGAUUUGAUUUGAUCCGGGUUGACUUCGAUUCCUCUUUGCGACACGAGGAAACCUAGGAAUUUUCCUGAGGCCACGCCGAAGGCGCACUUCUCCGGAUUUUAUUUCAUCCCGUACUGCCAUAAUAUCUCGAAUGCUUCUUUCAAAUAGCUAAUGUGAUCUUCCUUCUUUGUCGACUUUACCAGCAUAUCAUUGAUAUAGACCUGCAUGCUCUUGUCGAGCUACUCUUUGAACAUUUUGGUGACUAACCUCUGGUACGUGGCUCCUGCGUUCUUGAGUCUGAACGACAUCACUUUAUAGUAGUAAGUUCCUUGAUGAGUGAUGAAAGUCAUCUUUUCUUGAUCCUCUUCAGCCAUUAGAAUUUGGUUGUAACCGGAGUAGGCAUCCAAGAAACUCAGCAAUUUGUGCCCAGCUGUCGCAUUGAUCAGUUGGUCGAUAUGAGGGAAUUGGGAAGGAGUCUUUCAGGAAUGCUUUGUUUAGAUCGGUGAAGUCCACACACAUUUGCCAUUUCCCGUUCUUCUUUUUGACCAUGACCACAUUGGUGACAUAUGGAACCGUUGGCAAGUAAUUUAUCCACCUCCUCGCUGACCGCCUCAUUGAUUGCGACAUUGAACUUUCUCCUCAUUUUUCGUACCGGCGGAUAGAGUGGUCGACAUUCAGUCUAUUAGUGGCGAUGUCCCUUGGGAUUCCUGGCAUAUCUGAGUGGGAGAAGGCAAAUAAGUCGGUGUUGUUAGUUAAAAAUUCAUGAUACUUACCUGGCUCCGAGAGGUUAUGCCCUAUGUAAGCCUUUUUUGUGUUAUUGACGUCGUCCAAUUGGACGAGGUCAAGAUCUUCUAUAGUUGCCUUGUAGGCUUAUACGAUAUUCGAGUCUUUGAUGGCCUCUAUUUGUGGAUCGGGUUUGGUUCCCUACAUAGCUAAUUGCUAUGCCUCUACACUUGCUCCUUUUAGUUGUUUGGUGUACGUGCAAUCUUGGGAGAUCCGAUAGCAUUCUUGCGUGGUGCGUGGCUCGCCUCAGAUGCUGAAUAUUCCCUAGGGGGUAGGAAAUUUGAUCACUUGAUAAAAGCUUGAGGGAACGGCCCGCAUGGCAUGUAUCCAUAGUCGCCCUAUGAUGGCGUUGUAGGCUGUUUCCUGGUUCAUGACGUGGAAUGUUGUCUCCAGGGUGACCCCUCCCGCUAGUAGAAGUAGCACUAUUUCUCCGGAAGUCCGUUCUACUACAUUGUUAAAGUCUUUUAGUGUUAUGCAAUGCAGUAUUAUUUUAUCCUCGAGCCUCAUUUGCAUGAGGACUCUCGGGUGAACAAUACACAUGCCGCUUCCGUCAUCUACCAUGAUUCUUUUCACAUCUGUAUCAGUGAUGCAUAAAGUUAUAACCAAAGAAUUAUAGUGAGGGAAAGACAAACCGUCGGCAUCCGACUUAUCGAAGAUGAUACUGUCUUCGAGAUCAUCAUAUCGUUCGUGUGCGACCGUUCGUUUGAGUUUAUCUAUGGUGGUGAACUUCACAUGGUUGAUGAUCGUGUUGUCACCAUCGCCGAUGAUCAUCUAUAUGGUACGUACUAGCGACGGUGGCUUUGGAGGUCCUUGAGAUGGGUCACGUCCUCGAGCGAAGUUGUCUAUUCCCUUGUCGCUCAGCAGUUCUUUCAGAUACCCCUAGUUCAGCAUCCUGACUACUUCUUGUUGUAGACCUAUGCAAUCCUCGGUCUUAUGUCUUGGUGGAAUUCGCAGAGGACGUUGGACCUCCUGGUGCUUGGGUCCGAUUUCAUUUUUUGCGGCCAUUGUACCUUUGUGCCCAGCUUUUCCAGUGCGUACUCUAUCACUGAAGGGGAAACACAAAAAUUAUGAGUAGAUAGUAGUAGAGGCAUACCUCUUUCAUUUCGAGUGGCACAGUGUGCCGUGGCAAGGCUUCCAUGUGUUGGGGAGGGGGCACGUUGGAUGUUCGGAUGUAGGGCUGAUGCCUUUCUCGGUUGAAGCAUGGUGGUUGAUCUCUUCGCCUGUCAUUACGUCGAUCUCUCCUUAUCUCAGUUUGGACUGAUGUUAAUCGCUGAAGCGGCCCGUUCAAGUCGUCCUUAUCUGCCCUUACCUCGGCGCAGUAGGCGUUGUGAAUUUCUUCCCAUGUGGUAGGGGGAUACUUCAUGAGUCUGCUGAGCAGUUUUUUGGUCGCUUUUGAUCCGCUCCUGUUUAACCCAUUUUGAAAGGCUACUACUGCCAUCCCUUCUGACACAUUUGGUAGGCUCAUCCUUACUCUGUUGAAUCGGGCUAGGAAUCCCGAAGUCCCUCGCCCAUCGUUUGUCUGACGGUGAAGAUAUCAUUGACCCUAGAUUCAGCCUUCUUUGCCCCUGCAUGAGCGGUGGCGAAUUUGUCCGCCAUCUCCUCGAACGUCGAUAUCGGUCGCACAGGUAGCUGGGAGUACCAUGUCAAUGCUCCCCCUGUCAAGGUUUCUCCGAACUUUUUUAGCA
Molecule: long non-coding RNA, 54702 nt
Filed under: Nicotiana tabacum (common tobacco)
Lineage: Eukaryota; Viridiplantae; Streptophyta; Magnoliopsida; Solanales; Solanaceae
Description: long non-coding RNA (NTAB_LNC016497)
Source: RNAcentral